UUCCCCGGGGUAGCCUCGGACGGCCAUAAAAGCGUGUCUCCACCUCCAGUACCUGUAGAGUGUGAUGUGACCGCUGAGCCCACGCACCGUCAGCUCACUCCCGAUCCAGAUCCACUCGUUCCACUUCAGUCUGCGGCGACGACUUUCCUCCUCCCACGCAGAUCUCGUCGGCGCGAGCACCAGAUCAGCCGCAGCGCCGAAGGUAGUCCGCCUUCUCCUCGCUCCGUCUUGUAGAUCCAUCUCAGGCUCUCGCUCUCGAUCUGUCCUCUUCUUUUUCCUUUUCGGCGUCCAUUUCUUGUGGAUCUGAUCCGGAUUCAUGCUUUGCAGAGCUCGAUCUGCUCUGCUGUCAACUUCUUCAGCGUCGCGAACUGGAGGCGGAGAGCCGCUGCUCGGUGUUCGUUCAGGCUGCUCUUCUUCAACCUUCCGCCUCUGGCGUCGUCUCUCCUCCUCCCGGAUCCCGGUCGAGAUCUCAUCCACCGCCAGGUCGCACCCUGCUUCCUCAGGGUGCAGCCUUGUGGUCACGAGGCGAGGUCGCCGUCUUCGCGUCAACUGGAAUCACAUCUGGCGUCGACAAGCUUACUGUUUCCUCCGGCCUGAUCUGGCAUCGACAAGCAGUUUCCUCCGGUUGGAUCUGGCAUCGACAAGCUUACUGUUUCCUCCGGUUUGAUCUGCAUCCAUCUGGAAUCAAAUAACCUGUUUGAUCUUCCCUGCUUCAGAUUUUCUUCACUGCAUCGAUCUGGACUCCCUCCGAGCACCUCCCGACUGCAAGGUAAGGUCUUCCCGAGCUUUCCCUUCAGCGGUUACUGGUUCAACAGAAAGUAUGCUUCCAUACUUGCUGCAUUUCUUUGCUUGGUUAUAGUGGUGUACUGGUGUCUCAAACUUUCUGCUUGCGCAUAUUAUUUCUUUGCUUGCACCUUUGAAUGCUUGUGAAGUUCUUUUUUUUUGGGUGAGAAACUGCUUGUGAAGUUGUGUAGCUUACUGUAUUUCCUUCUAUUAUGGUAAAUCGGACGCCCUUUAAUUGUUAGUAUAAUCUUUUAAACUGGAGUUAAUAUGCGUAAAAUCAAUUAUUGGUCCUGAACUUAUUUCAGUCUGAGCUUGUCUGGCGAUAUAUCUAAAGAACGCUUGCGAAUAUGCUGAAUCUGCUGGAACUUGCUAAAACUAUCACUGAUUGGCACAUAGUACUCGUUUAUUCUAUUUAAAAGAGAAUCAACUGGCUAUGAAAUUCUUUUCUUCAUCUCUUUUGCUGUGAUACUUUUAGUAGGUCAUUUCCUCUUUUUUAAUAUAAAUUUGCUACCUUUUUACACUUCCUAGAUGCACAAUAUUUUUAUUUUUUUGUUGUAAAUUCCUUAUGAUUAUUGAUCACAUCUGGGGAGAAGAAAAUGUGAAGAUUUGUAAAAAAUUCUUUGUAGUUGAAUAAUCAUAACAUAACAUACAAGAUUACUAUCUUUGAAGCAUAUCACUUUUUCUGUGAUAACAUAAUUCAUAAGAAACCUCUUUCAAAUAAGACUCUCAAAUAAUUUUCUAUAGAAAAUAUAUCGUAAUGAGAACAUAUGUUCACGUGAAUUAGAGAAAAUAUCGAGAGCUAUUUUCAAGAAAUGUGGUGGUGUACCAUAGCCAUUAUUGCUGUAACUACUAUUUUUGUUAGUAAUAAACCAAAUGGAGCAAAAAUUAUUGAUUCUGUUUGCUCAAUUUUAUGUGUCAUGAGGUAACAAAAGAUGCUAUAUUUGAAGGAAAUGGAAGGGAUAUUAUUGCUCAAUUGUUAUGAUUUGCUUCCCAUUUGAAGACUAGUUUAUUAUAUAUAAGCAUAUUUUUGUAAGUUUGAGAGAGAGAUCACAAGAAGAUCCACUUCAAGAGCCAUUGGACCGCUGAGAAAUAUGUUUAGAUAUAAUAAACAAGUCUUUAGAUGGGAAGGCAGAUCAUAAUAGCUGAGCGAAAUGUAAGUGAUACCGUUGCUCAAUUGUUAUGAUCUGCUUCUCAUCUGAAGACUAGUUUAUUACAUAUAAGCAUAUUCUUGAAAGUUUGAGAGAGAGAGAGAGAGAUCACAAGCAGAUCCCGUGCAGAAGAGAACAUCACUGAUACAACUAUAAUAAUUCUUCCACUUCAAGAGCCAUUGGGUCGCUGAGAAAUAUCUUUAGAUAUAAUAAACAUGUCUUCAGAUGAGAAGGCAGAUCAUAAUAGCUAAGCAAUAAUAUCAUUUUCAUUUUUUCUUUCGAACUAGCAUCUUUUGUAACCCCACAACCCGUAGCAUUGAGCAAACACAACCAAUCAUUAUUUGCUCUAUUUGGUUAUUACUAACCAAAAUACUAGUUAUAAUAAUGAUGGUUAAUGGUACACCUCCACAUAUUUUCAAAAUAGCUCUUGCUACUUACUCCAUUUUUCAUGCGGACACCUAUUCUUGCAUUCUCAUAUAGAGAAUUGUUCAUCUCUGAGUCUGUGAUACUACUUUUAUUAUGUCAUUUCCUCUUUUUAAUCCAAUUUAGCUGCCUUUUUACUCUUCCUAGCUAGCACAGUAUUGAUAAUUCAUUAUCUUCAUUGUGAUUCCUAAAUUCCCAUAGCUCGUUUAAAUAAAUUGAUGUGCCAAUUAAUAUUUCUAUUUUUUUGUAAAUACCUUAUGAUUAUUGAUUACAUGUGGGUAGAAAAAAAAGGUGAAGAUUAAGUGUUGUUUGUAUACAUUUUAGUUGUAUCGGAUAUCAUCAUAACAAAAUGCAAAAUUAGUAUCUUCUAAGCAUAUCACUUUUUCUGUGAUACAUAGUUCAUGAGAAACCUCUUUCAAAUAAGACUCUCAAAUAAUUUUCUAUAUAAAAUAUCGAGAAUAUAUGUUCACGUGAAUUGGAGAAAAUAUAACAAGAUGCAAAAUUAGUAUCUUUGAAGCAUAUCACUUUUUUUGUGAUACAUAGUUCAUGAGAAACCUCUUUCAAAUAAGACUCUCAAAUAAUUUUCUAUAGAAGAUAUAUCACGAUGAGAAUAUAUGUUCACGUGAAUUGGAGAAAAUAUCGAGAGCUAUUUCGAAGAAAUGUGGCAGUGUAUCAUAGCCAUUAUUACUAUAGCUACUAUUUUGGUUAGUAAUAAUACCAAAUGCAGCAAAAAAAUUAUUGGUUUUGUUUGCUCAAUUUUAUGCCUCAUGAGGUUACAGAAGAUGCUAUUUUGAAGAAAAUAAAAGGGAUAUUGUUGCUCCAAUUGUUAUGAUUUGCUUCUCAUCUGAAGACUAGUUUAUUACAUAUAAGCAUAUUUCUGUAAGUUUGAGAGAGAUCAUAAACAAGCGAUCGCCACAUGUUGACAGGGCUGCUCGACCGGCAGAGCAGUCCAGCAGCCGCAGCGGACGACUGAACGUGUUGCACCCCACCGCACCAUACAACUAUAAUAAUUCUUCCACUUCAUGAGCCAUUGGACUAUUGGGAAAUAUGUUUAGAUAAUAAACAAGCCUUCAGAUGAGAAGGCAGAUCAUAAUAGGUGAGCAAUAAUUUUUUUUUCUUUCAAACUAGCACCUUUUGUAACCCCACAACCCAUAGCAUUGAGCAAGCACAACCAAUCAUUGUUUGCUCUAUUUGAUUAUUACUAACCCAAAUACUAGCUAUAGUAAUGAUGGCUAAUGGUACACCUCCAGAUUUUUCAAAAUAGCUCUCGCUACUUACUCCAUUUUUCAUGCGGACAUAUGUUCUCGCUCUAAAAUAUUCGUAUAUAGAGAAUUAUUGGAGAGUCUUAUUUUAAAUAUGUUCAGUUCUAUUAAUUAUGUCAUCAUAGGAAGAGUGACAUUAUUUGUAGACACUAAUUUGCGUGUUAUUACGAUUAUCUGACUACAGAGAUUGGUUUUUGACACACCAUACUUAAUAAAUCUUCACAUGUUGUUUUGCAUGAUGCGUGUUGUUUUUCUUCUCCGAUGAGGCCUGCCCUUCGCUCACAUCUCAAAAGUCCCGAGGAACAUGAAGAUCAGCGCACCAGCAGUCAGCAGCUCAAGUUCACCGACCCAGGAAAGAUAUAUAGGAACUAGUAGUAUAUCAUAGGGGCACCAGUGCAAAUCAAAAUAGUGUUUCUGGCUUUUGCUAUCACGCUGUGUACUCCCCAUUCCGAUAUGGUUGAAUCGCUGGAGAGGGCAACUUUGUUUGUAGGUGCCAAUAUUCAUGUGUCUCUUUGCUGAGGGCCUGAGCAUGUCAUCUGUUGUCUUGGGGACAUGAGCCUCAUGGUAUUUCAGGAUACUUCCAUGAUGCCAAACAUCUCCGAAGUCAAUUCACAUGGCUUUGCUUCCUCCUCUCCUUUUACAUGUUGCUGCUGUACAUGUGCUCUUCAGCCUGUAACUAAAAGUGUUGAUGAUUUUGUUCACUUUGUGCUUGCAGUUUUCUUUUGAGGGGAUUGUGUUUGCAGAUUUUGGUUCAAUCUCUUUACAUUUUGCCAUGACCAAUUGCACGUGCUUACAAGGAAAGGGAGUCUGUAAAAACAUGACUUUUUUUAAGGCUGUAAAAACAUUACUUGUAGUUUUUGGUACCGUGUGGUUGAAAAAAGUUUGAAGGCGCUUAUGGAAACAAAGGUUGUCCUGGUAUAUGAUCCGCUUGCUGUCUCUUGAUGAUGGCAACGGGCCGCGGCGGUAGGGCAGUAGGCAGGUGCCCAGCAGCAAGGCGCGUAGACGCGUGGUUCAAAAAAUAAUGAAUGGCGGUGGAUCUGUAUGGCUAACGGCGAGGACAACAUUUGGUCUGGCAAUUUUUUUGUUGUAGCUAUGGUUUUGCGUAAGACUGAUUAUCAUUCCAGGUUUUCUAACGAAGGUACAGUAGUACAUGAGCACAGGGAGUCAGUUGGAGAGGCUCAUAGCUUAGUUAAAGCUGCUGCAGCCUUACAUGUGGCUGAGUGGUUUACCCGAUAUUUGUUAUAUUCCGUUGAAUGUUUUGAAUGAAAAAAUAACCCUGUUCUACUAAAAACAUGAAUUAGUCUUCCCGUUAGGGCACAUACACAGGAGUCCUUCUAUAUGACACACGCAGGCGUCAGGUAGACAACGAAACACCCACAUCGGCCAAAAUGGGCCGGAAGUGUAGCGGCUCACUUACGUUGUUCUAUUUUUUGUGCAAAUAUAUCAACUAAAUAUAAUAAAAAAUCCAUAAAAUAUAUUUACACAAAUAUACCGAUGAAAUAAAUUUAAAUGUACAGAACAUAUUUCAAUAAAUAUAUAUAUUUAGAAAAUCUCCACCUUGUGUUUAAAGAAUGUUCAAUGUGUAUUUAGAAAAUGUUCACCGUAUAUUAAAAAAAUCUUCAGUCUCUGUUUAUUAAAUGUUCAGUGUGUAUUUAAUUAUUUUCACAGUAUAUCAAAAAUGUAUUUCUAUAUUUUUAAGAAAUAUUCAUCAUAUAUUACAAAAGAUUUCAACAUACACUGAAAAUAGUCCGCCAUGUUUAAAAAAAUGUCCAUGUAUGAAAAAAAGGAGAUUUAUAAAUGAACAUAAUAAAAUAAAAUGAAAAAAAAGAAAAAAACCGAGCAAAUGAAAAAAAAAAUGCUAGAACCUUCCAAAGUAUUCCAAGAACAGGAUGGAGGAGUAUAUAAACAAAAGCGGAUGGCAGAGUACCAAAACAAAAGUACAAACAAAAAAUCAGAAAAAGAAAAUGCUUAGUUGCUGCGCACGAACGAAACAUCAUGAAACCUGCCAUUGCUACGGCUCAAUUCGGUCGCCUACGAGCAUCACUGAAACAAAAACAAAAAAAACGCAAACAGAUAACCGAAAAACACACGAUGGAGUUGCUGUGCAUGAACAAAACAGUACGAAACUUGUUACUGGACCAACCUAGACCAGUCGCCUGCGAGCGUCACCUCGUCCAUGGCAUCAAACAUGCGCCCAUAUACAGCGCAAACACUAUAUCUCGCCUAUUGUGAGUGGGAACAAGUGCUCGACUACACACGGCAAUUUUUGAGCUGCGGCCCCUUAAGCCGCGACGUUCAUUUCUUCGUGUGUGGGCCAGCUUUCUUUGGAGUGGGGGCCAGGUUUUAGGCGCGAUGGCUAGUUUGUUGGUGCAACUAACUAAAGGUUACCCCUGGGGUUGCUCCCACAAGAGCCCCUUUUUUGGCCUGGCAGCGCACCAAGCGGUGCGUCUAGCCGCCGCCAUGUGUCCUCCGUCCUGGUUUAUUGCCCCCCUUCGUAAUUUUGUAACAAAUUUUGACUAGUUUAACUAACAAAAUGUUAAUGCAUGUCGUAAAAAAAAUAUCGUUGGAUCCGUAUUUGAGCAUAGUUUUUAAUGAAAUUAUUUUUGCUACAUAUAACUUAUAUUUUAUUAGUUCAAAUUAUAGUGAAAAUAUGACACUAAACACGAUGGGGACUAAUAGACUAGGACAAAGAUAGUAUUUUCUUUUCGCAGGAAGCACACCCCAUGCUUCUCAAAAAGGAAAAAGCACAGCUGUGUUUCUGCGAGAAGGGGAAAGCAUAGCCUAUGCUUCUAAAAAAGUGAAAAAACAACGGUGUUUUCGGGCUAUGGUUUUUUCCUCCAGUUUUUUGGUAUUCAUUUUUUUUGUUUUUGUUGUUUUGUUUUCGAUCUUUUUCGUUUCUGGUUUUCUGGCUUACUUUUUUUCUCGGUUUUCUCAUUAAAAAGUUCAUCGAAAUCUAUUAACAUGGGAUCAACUUUCGAAGAUCCCGACGUGAUAAAUCCAAUAGUGAAAACGGUUUGGUAUUUGGACACACAAUGAGAAGAUAAAACAUUUUGAAUAGAUGGUUCUACGAAUAAAAGGAAAACUCCUACACAAUUGGCACAUUGCAGUGCACCACUUGUUAGCACCCGAGAAGAUGAAGAUUGACCUUUGCAAGGGGUUAACCUUAACUAGUUAUUUCGUUGGUUCAAUUUUUUUACUUUGUUUCUCUGGUCUGGGUUUUCAAUGAGUUUUUUAGUCUGGUUUCUCUGUUGUUUUCUUUCCUUUCCUAAUUUCUUUUCCUUUUCCUUUUCCUUUUUAUGUUCCUGUUUUUGUUUUUUAUCUUUAUAUUUUAUUCUUUGUGUUCUUUUUUGGUUUUCAUUUUUAUGAAUAAUCUAUGAAUACUUCAAAACAUAUGAACGCUUUUUCAAAAUGCACAAACACAUUUGAAAAUUAAAUGAAUAUUUGUUAGUUGCAUGGUCAUAUUUAAAAUUCAUAAUUAACAAUUAUGAAUACAUGAUUUUUUUGAAUUAUGCUAUACACUUUUUAGAAUGCAUGAUGAACAUUUUUUAAAACAAGAACAAUUUUUAAUACCUGACAUAAUUUUUCUAAUAUAUAUUUUGGAAAAUUAAAGAUGGGUAUUUUUUUAGUGUAUGAUGAAUAAUUUUUAAUACAUGGUUUUUUUAAUAAAUGAUAAAAUUAUACUAUGAUUUAAAAACAAAUAUAUGAUUAAAAUUUGUGAAUGCAAGAUCAAUUUUCUAAAUAUAUGAUGAUCAUUUUCCAUAAAUUAUGCAUAUAUUUUAAAAUAGACAUUGAAAAUUUAUCAAAUACUACAAUAAAUAAAAUUUAACACGUGAUUUUUUUUAAAAAAAUUGAGAAACAUUUUAUUAUAUGGCAUUUUUGUGUAAAUUUAGUACAGUAAAAAUAAUUAUUUAAAAAUAAUUAGUACAUAUAAAAUGGAAAAGUCUACUUCCUUUGAGCUAACUAAACUGCACAUAGUAUUUUUUUAGAGCUAACAAAAUUGUACAUACCCUUGAAAAAAAGAGCUUGUAGCAUAUCAAACUAUAGACCAUACUUCGAUGGAGGAAAAACUAGCGAUCAUACGCUGUGCUGGGCCGUCCCACCCAGUGCGAAGUGGGCAACCGCUCCCUCUCGCUCGCAAGAGGCGAGAUACAGACGUAGCACAUAUUUUUAGGCAUAUAUAUCUAUGUACUACUAGCUCUGUCCUACCCCUAAAAAAAACUCUGCCCUGGUUUACUAAUCCCUUCAUAUUUUGGGUCAAAAUAUGACCAUAUAUUUGACUAGGCAAACUUUAAUGCAUGUCACAAAAAAUUAUAUUGCCGAAUUCUUAUUUGAAUGUAGUUUCUUAUGAUAUUAUUUUUGCUACAUAUGAUUUAUAUUUUAGUAGUUUAAANNNNNNNNNNNNNNNNNNNNNNNNNNNNNNNNNNNNNNNNNNNNNNNNNNNNNNNNNNNNNNNNNNNNNNNNNNNNNNNNNNNNNNNNNNNNNNNNNNNNNNNNNNNNNNNNNNNNNNNNNNNNNNNNNNNNNNNNNNNNNNNNNNNNNNNNNNNNNNNNNNNNNNNNNNNNNNNNNNNNNNNNNNNNNNNNNUUGAGGGCCAUAUUACACACAUUUUAGUAGUCAAAUUUAUAACCUUUGCACACUAUACAAAUCUGGAUGGAGUACUUAUUAUAAACGGGGAUAGAGCUAGUACAUCAUGUCGUAAAACUUUGAGGGCCAUAUUACACACAUUUUAUUAGUCAAAUUUAUAACCUUUGCACACUAUACAAAUCUGGAUGGAGUACUUAUUAUAAACGGGGAUAGAGCUAGUACAUCAUGUUGUAAAAUUUUGAGGGCCAUAUUACACACAUUUUAUUAGUCAAAUUUAUAACCUUUGCACACUAUACAAAUCUGGAUGGAGUACUUAUUAUAGUUUUUUUUUCUUGUCUUAAUAAAGUCAAUGCAUGUUUCAUAGGACAUCGAAUCUUCCAUUUGUGCAUUGGUCAAUGGGAUAGAUACUGUCAUACUGACAUGCAUGCUUCUUUUUCUACUGUGAUCAUUGUUUCAUUAAUUGAUCUCGGUUGAACUUUCUAAACCUUGAGGGCCACCUCGCUCAAUCUAUAUCGACAUAUUAAUCAAUUGUGGCAUGAAGCCACAACCAUAGCACGUAGAAAAUCUGGAUUCUAUUUAGUGAGAUGCAUAUUUGCAUGCUAUAUUGGACACAUGAAGUUAUGUCAUGCUACCCGGUAAAGUGAAAUUUCCAUCAUAAUGUUUUUCCACACAUAUAUGGAAAAAAGGGUGAACUAGCAGAAGCUCAGGUAGACCUGCACAGUUUCGUUAGUAGCAAAUGUGUAGACAUUGCACUUAUAUGAUAUAUGCAGCACAACAAAUAACUAUGAUUGUUAUAGUCCCCAGAAAAAAUAAAAUAAAAAUAAGAUUACAAUCAUAUGUAGAAAGGUACCAAAAAUGAGGAAGCACUUUUUUGCAGAGAAUAAAGGAGUUUUGUUUCGGUACUAUGUUCAGAACAACCAAAAUUUGCCAAAUAAUUAGCCAACCUAUUUUGGUCUCAAGCUACUUUCUAGGGCAUAAACUUCCAUUCUUGCAUCAACCUUUUGAUCUCAUCAACUAGAUGUCCAUACGCCGAGCGGGCCAAGGUAUCGUUUCACAAGGCAAACAGGGCCACCAAAGAAUCUGUUUGAACGAUACGAUAAACGGGAGAUCUAUCCAUUGAAACUCCAGGGCCAUGCCCUCCACUUCAAGAGCUUCAUUAUCGACAUGAAGUGGAAAUAGUCCUCCUGGCAGAGUUCCAAAGAAUCAUGUCCGACCCCACGAAGCCAUCUGCCGGCAUGAAAGAGCCACCGACAGAGAGCACGGCAUGGCUCAUGCGUACAUUGUGCAAGGAAUUUCUUGUUGUAUUACUGAGAUACUUUUGUCUUGGAUAUUCUCCGGUGACUAGAUUGUGUUUACCUUCUUUUUACAAAGUUUGCUCGAAUUCAAUAAUUUUAGGUAAUUUUUGGUAAAUUUGAAAUUCCUUUGAAUAAUUCCAAGUUGUAUUUGACUAAUAUCAUUCGAAAGCGGUCCUACCGCGUCCCACUGGUUAAUUUCCAAACCCCCAAAAAUAUUGCUAUUAAUUACUUAAUUUUCCAUCAAAGUAUAUUUAGUUCAUUUGAGGUCACAAUGUGAUAGAUUACUUGUUUAUCUGAAGCAGAGUUUAUUAAUAUUUCAGAUUGACACCACUCAAGAUAAAAUCCAUAGGUUUGAGAAAAAGAUUUUAGAUUGGGCUUGCAGGCCGGCCUCUCAUGGCCCACCAAUAGACACCGAACGCAGAAGGCUUUAGAUUGGGCUGUAAUGGGCCGUGGGACAACAGUAUUGCCUGAAAUUGCUCCCCUUCCAUUUUGAAUAGGCUGAAUUCCUGCUUAAUUAUUACCAGCAACAUGGAACUGAAGUCUAUCAAAGACCGUAGUAACUGCUACCGUUGAUCUUGCUAUGUUAUUCCUCUGAUUUUGAAAAUUAUUUGUCGCUUGAUUGUAAUACCUUGGAGCUCGAAUAACAUAUGCAUAUGAAUUUGCAUUCCUUGAAUGAGAGACAACUAUCCAACCAUCAUGUUGCUCAGGAUCGGGCAAAGAUCGAUGUUUUGGCCCAUUUGGUCCCCAAAGGAGGAAUCCAAAAUUGAAUUCAGGCAAUGAGACAUUUCCUCCAUUGUAAAUAGCAAAACCAACAUUGGUGGAAGAAGCCGAGAAUUUGAAAAGUGAUUCACGAAUUUUCUGAACUUUGAAGAGAGAGGCUCGUCCUCCGAAGCAGGAAAGGAGAAUUGUACCUACUGAUUCCUCCGUGAGACGGAUCUUGGAUCUUGUAUACUCAGCCACCAAAAAGAAUUCCCGUUGCCCAUUUUCUGCCGUAAAGUUGAUUGGAAGUUCCAGAGAGCACCAUAUACGAUCUUUGAAGGCAUGGCCUCUCUCAAAGCGGAGAUCCGAUAAAGACAUGUCUUACCCAAGGGAGGAAAAGAGGCUGUGAGUAGGGUGUCUGCCGCACUCGAAGUGACAUUCAGCGUGAGCGGGGGUGGCCGCCGUGACCGGGCUGGCCAACGACGGGUCUAGGAGCGGGGCGGCUAGUCGGCUACACUACUUUGUGUGGAGGUUGUUUGGAGUUGGAGAGGCUUGGAUUCGUAACUAGCCGUCUCCAGCAAGUUUGAGUUGUUGAUGACCAAAAGGAUUAUACGGAUUAAAAAAUCAUAGAAAUUGCAUACCAUUAGGAUGAACAUGACAUCUCUCAAGGAAAAAUUGCAUAUUCCACUCUACUUACAGAACAAAUUAAUUGCACUGAUGUAUACAUUCUGAUGGAUUCCAAUGUCAACGAAUCUUUUAAUUUGACCCAGUUAGAUUUGCCAAGAUUUUUCUUGGUCGGAAUAAUUUGCAGUUCGUCUUGGAUGAGAAGGCUGAGCUAAUUCGCCUUGCGUUGCAAGGUUGCGCAGGUUACGAGUUUUCUGGUGAGGGUGGAGGCUACCCUUGGUAGGCUCAUAAUUGCGCCUGAUGUCACUCACCCGACCAAGCUCCAUGUUGAUUGUGUGGAUAGAGAGGAAGCUGACCUCUAUGGAUGUUUUCUCCUCGUAUUAGCUCUACGUGUCAUCGCUGGAUGUUGCAUCGACUACCUCUAGGAGUGAGGACAUCACCGAGAUUGUUGCUCUGAUGCUGUAGAUCAUGCCCGAGCUACAAAUGAUGUGUGGGAAGCAUGCUUCACCUUUGUAAAUGGUACAUGCAGACUCUCUUGUGACCUUGAUAGUGGUUGCACCGCCACCCACACCACCAUCAUCACAAACUAGUAAGGCACUCAUCUUCGUGGAGCGUGGAGGUUUGGGUGGUUGAUACGUCCAUUUUGCAUCAUGUUUUCUUACUGUUAGUUAUGCUGUUUUUAUCCAUAAUAAUGCUUUUUGGAGUAAUUCUAAUGCCUUUUCUCUCAUAAUAUGCAAGGUUUACACAAAGAGAGAGAAUUCCGGCAGCUGGAAAUUUGGACCUGGAAAAGCUACGUCAGGCCACCAAUUCUGCACAACUCCAAACAAGCUGAAACUUCACGGAGAUUUUUUAUCAAAUAUAUGAAGAAUAUUGGAGCAAAUAACUACCAUAGGGGGCCACCAGGUGGGCACAACCCACCUGGGCGCGCUAGGGAGCCCAGGCGCGCCCUGGUGGGUUGUACUCACCCAGGCCAACCUCCGGUGCCCAUGUUCUGGUAUAUAAGUCAUUUUGACCUAGAAAAAAUAAGGAGAGAACUUUCGGGAUGGAGCGCCGCCGUCUUGAGGCAGAACUUGGGCGGGAGCACUUUUGCCCUCCAGCGGAGCGAUUCCGCCGGGGGAACUUCCCUCCCGUAGGGGGAAAUCAUCGUCAUCAUCAUCACCAACAACUCUCCCAUCUUGGGGAGGGCAAUCUCCAUCAACAUCUUCAACAACACCAUCUCCUCUCGAACCCUAGUUCAUCUCUUGUGUUCAAUCUUGUUAUCGGAACUAUAGAUUGGUGCUUGUGGGUGACUAGUAGUGUUGAUUACAUCUUGUAGUUGAUUACUAUAUGGUUUAUUUGGUGGAAGAUUAUAUGUUCAGAUCCAAUAUGCUAUUUAAUACCCCUCUGAUCUUGAGCAUGAUUAUCAUUUAUGAGUAGUUACUUUUGUUCUUGAGGUCACGAGAGAAAUCAUGUUGCAAGUAAUCAUGUGAACUUGAUAUGUGUUCGAUAUUUUGAUAGUAUGUAUGUUGUGAUUCCCUUAGUGGUGUCAUGUGAACGUCGACUACAUGACACUUCACCAUAUUUGGGCCUAAGGGAAUGCAUUGUGGAGUAGCAAUUAGAUGAUGGGUUGCGAGAGUGACAGAAGUUUAAACCCUAGUUUAUGCGCUAUUCCGUAAGGGACCGGUUGGAUCCAAAAGUUUAAUGCUAUGGUUAGAAUUUAUUAUUAAUACUUUUCUCAUAGUUGCGGAUGCUUGCGGGAGGGUUAAUCAUAAGUAGGAGGUUUGUUCAAGUAAGAACAACACCUAAGCACUGGUCCACCCACAUAUCAAAUUAUCAAAGUACCGAACACGAAUUAAUCCAACAUGAUGAAAGUGACUAGAUGAAAUUCCCAUGUACCCUCAAGAACGCUUUGCUUAUCAUAAGAGACCGUUUCGGCCUGUCCUUUGCCUUAAAAGGAUUGGGCUACCUUGCUACACUUUUGCUACUAUUAUCAUUACCUGCUUGUUACAAAAUAUCUUGCUAUCAAACUACUCCGUUAGUUACAAUUUUAGCACUUGCAGACAUCACCUUGCUGAAAGCCACUUGUCAUUUCCUUCUGCUCCUCGCUGGGUUCGACACUCUUACUUAUCAAAAAGAGCUAUAAUUUAACCUUUAUACUUGUGCGUCAUCAAGACUAUUUUCUGGCGCCGUUGCCGGGGAGUGAAGCGCCUUUGGUAAGGAAACAUUUAUAUAGUGUGCUGAAAUUUAUUGUCACUUGUUACUAUGGAAAACAAUCAUUUGAGGGAUUUGUUCAGGGUAUCUUCACCUCGACCGGAACCACAAUUAUCUACCCAUCUACCUAUUGCACCUACUGAAAAUAUUGAAUAUGAAAUUCCUUCCGGUAUGAUAGAACAAUUACUAGCUAAUCCUUAUGCAGGAGAUGGAACCGAACAUCCUGAUAUGCACUUGAUAUAUGUAGAACAAAUUUGUGGAUUGUUCAAGGUUGCAGGUUUACCCGGAGAUGAAGUUAUGAAAAAGGUUUUCCCUUUAUCUUUGAAGGUAAAAGAAUUGGCAUGGUAUAGGCUAUGCGAUGAUAUUGGAUCUUGGAAUUGGAAUCGUUUGAAAUUGGUGUUCCAUCAAAUUUUUUAUCCUUUGCAUCUAGUUCAUCAUGAUCGGAAUUAUAUAUAUAAUUUUUGGCCUCAUGAAGGAGAAAGUAUCGCUAUAGCUUGGGGGAGGCUUAAGUCAAUGUUAUAUUCAUGGCCCAAUCAUGAGCUCUCAAGAAAAAAUAUUAUCCAGAACUUUUAUUCUCGGCUUUCUCAUAAUGAUCAAACCAUGCUCGAUACCUCUUGUGCUGGUUCUUUUAUGAAGAAGAAUAUUGAAUUCCGGUGGGAUCUUUUGGAAAGAAUUAAACACAACUCUGAAGAUUGGGAACUCGACGAAGGUAAAGAGUCAGGUAUUAAACUUAAGUAUGAUUCUGAUAAAUCUUUUAUGGAUACCGAUGCUUUUCAAAAGUUUCGCACUAAAUAUGGACUUGAAUCUGAGAUAGUAGCCUCCUUUCGUGAAUCAUUUUCUAUUCAUGUUGAUCUCCCUAAAGAUAAGUGGUUUAAAUAUCCCCCACCAAUUAAAGAAGAAAUUAAAGAACCUGUGCCAGUUAGAGAAGAAACUAUACUUUACAAUGUUGAUCCCGUUGUUCCUUCUGCUCUUAUUGAGAAACCACCUUUCCCUGUUAGGAUAAAGGAACAUGUUAAAGAUUCAACCGUGGUCAACAAAAGCUAUAUUAGAACCUAGUAUUACUAUGGUUAAAGAUCUCUUGGAAGAAGAUGUAGAUGGGCAUGUUAUUUACUUCUGUGAAGAAGCUGCUAGAAUUGCCAAACCUGAUAAAGAGGAUAAACAUAGACCUGUUGCUGGCAUGCCCGUUGUCUCAAUUAAAAUAGGAGAUCACUAUUAUCAUGGUUUAUGUGACAUAGGUGCUAGUGUGAGUGCUAUUCCUUACACUUUAUAUUAAGAAAUUAUGAAUGACAUAGCACCUGUAGAGAUAGAAGACAUAGAUGUUACUAUUAAACUUGCUAAUAGAGACACUAUAUCACCAAUUGGGAUUGUUAGAGAUAUUGAAGUCUUGCGCGGGAAAAUAAAAUACCCUACUGAUUUUCUUAUUCUUGGUUCCCCACAAGAUGACUUUUGUCCCCUUAUCUUUGGUAGACCUUUCUUGAACACCAUUAAUGCUAAAAUAUAUUGUAAGAAACAAACUGUCGGUGUUAGCUUUGGUGAUGAGUCUCAUGAGUUUAAUUUUUCCAAGUUUAGUAGAAAGCUUCAUGAAAAGGAACUGCCUAGUAAAGAUGAAUUAAUUGGUCUUGCUUCUAUUGCCGCGCCUCCUACUGAUCCACUAGAACAAUAUUUACUAGACCAUGAAAAUGAUUUCCAUAUGCAUGAAAGAAGUGGAAUAGAUAAUAUUUUCUUUGAACAACGUCCUCUGCUUAAACAUGAUUUGCCUAUUGAAACUCUAGGAGGUCCUCCUCCACCUAAAGGUGAUCUAGUGUUUGAAUUAAAACAAUUGCCAGGCAUUUUGCAAUAUGCUUCUCUUGAUGAAAAGAAGAUAUAUCCUGUUAUUAUUAGUGCUAACCUUUCAGAACAUGAAGUGAAGGAAAUAUGCCCUAGAGGCAAUAAUAAAGUUAUUAUUUAUUUCCUUAUAUCAUGAUAAAUGUUUAUUAUUCAUGCUAGAAUUGUAUUAACCGGAAACAUAAUACAUGUGUGAAUACAUAGACAAACUUAGUGUCACUAGUAUGCCUCUACUAGACUAGCUCGUUAAUAAAAAAUGGUUAUGUUUCCUAACCAUGAACAAUGUGUUGUUAUUUGAUUAACGAGGUCACAUCAUUAGUUGAAUGAUCUGAUUGACAUGGCCCAUUUCAUUAACUUAGCACCCGAUCGUUUAGUAUGUUGCUAUUGCUUUCUUCAUGACUUAUACAUGUUCCUAUGACUAUGAGAUUAUGCAACUCCUGUUUACCGGAGGAACACUUUGUGUGCUACCAAACGUCACAACGUAACUGGGUGAUUAUAAAGGAGCUCUAUAGGUAUCUCCAAAGGUAGAUGUUGGGUUGGCGUAUUUCAAGAUUAGGAUUUGUCACUCCGAUUGUCGGAGAGGUAUCUCUGGGCCCUCUCGGUAAUGAUCAUCACAUAAGCCUUGCAAGCACUGCAACUAAUAUGUUAGUUGUGAGAUGAUGUAUUACGGAACGAGUAAAGAGACUUGCCGGUAACGAGAUUGAACUAGGUAUUGGAUACCGACGAUCAAAUCUCGGGCAAGUAACAUACUGAUGACAAAGGGAACAACGUAUGUUGUUAUGCGGUCUAACCGAUAAAGAUCUUCGUAGAAUAUGUAGGAGCCAAUAUGGGCAUCCAGGUCCCGCUAUUGGUUAUUGACCGGAGACGUGUCUCAGUCAUGUCUACAUUGUUCUCGAACUGUAGGGUCCGCAUGCUUAACAUUACGAUGACAGUUAUUAUGAGUUUAUGCAUUUUGAUGUACCGAAGUUAGUUCGGAGUCCCGGAUGUGAUCACGGACAUGACGAGGAGUCUCGAAAUGGUCGAGACAUAAAGAUUGAUAUAUUGGAAGCCUAUAUUUGGAUAUCGGAAGUGUUCCGGGUGAAAUCGGGAUUUUACCGGAGUACCGGGAGGUUACCGGAAACCCCCGGGAGCCAUAUGGGCCUUAUUAGGCUUUAGUGGAAAGGUGAAAGGGGCUGCCCAUGGUGGGCUGCGCGCCUCCCCCCUCCCCUAGUCCUAUUAGGACUAGGAGAGGUGGCCGGCCACCUCUCUUUCUCUUUUCCCCUUGGGAAUCCUAUUUGGAAUAGGAUUGGGGGGGGGGGGAGUCCUACUCCCGGUAGGAGUAGGACUCCUCCUGCGCCUCCAUAGGGCUGGCCGCACCCCUCCCCCUUGGCUCCUUUAUAUACGGAGGCAGGAGGCACCUCUAGACACACAAGUUGAUCAUUGAGAUCGUUCCUUAGCCGUGUGCGGUGCCCCCUGCCACCAUAUUGCACCUCGAUCAUAUCGUUGUAGUGCUUAGGCGAAGCCCUGCGUCGGUAAUACAUCAAGAUCGUCACCACGCCAUCAUGCUGACGGAACUCCUCCCCGAAGCUUUGCUGGAUCGGAGCCCGGGGAUCGUCAUCGAGCUGUACGUGUGCUAAGAACCCGGAGGUGCCGGAGUAACGGUACUUGGAUCGGUCGGAUCGGGAAGAAGACAUACGACUACUUCCUCUACGUUGUGUCAACGCUUCUGUUGCGAUCUACAAGGGUACGUAGAUCAGACUCUCCCCCUCGUUGCUAUGCAUCACCAUGAUCUUGCAUGUGCGUAGGAUUUUUUUUGAAAUUACUACGUUCCCCAACAGUGGCAUCCGAGCCUAGGUUUUAUGGUUUGAUGUUAUUUGCACGAGUAGAACACAAGUGAGUUGUGGAUGAUACAAGUCAUACUGCCUACCAGCAUGUCAUACUUUGGUUUGGCGGUAUUGUUGGACGAGAUGACCCGGACCAACCUUACGCGUACGCUUACGCGAGACCGGUUCCCCCGACGUGCUUUGCACACAGGUGGCUUGCGGGCGACUGUCUCUCCAACUUUAGUUGAACCGAGUGUGGCUACGCCCGGUCCUUGCGAAGGUUAAAACGGAGUCUAUUUGACAAACUAUCAUUGUGGUUUUGAUGCGUAGGUGAGAUUGGUUCUUGCUUAAGCCCGUAGCAGCCACGUAAAACUUGCAACAACAAAGUAGAGGACGUCUAACUUGUUUUUGCAGGGCAUGUUGUGAUGUGAUAUGGUCAAGACAUGAUGCAAAAUUUUAUUGUAUGAGAUGAUCAUGUUUUGUAACCGAGUUAUCGGCAACUGGCAGGAGCCAUAUGGUUGUCGCUUUAUUGUAUGCAAUGCAAUCGCGAUGUAAUGCUUUACUUUAUCACUAAACGGUAGCGAUAGUCGUGGAAGCAUAAGAUUGGCGAGACGACAACGAUGCCACGAUGGAGAUCAAGGUGUCGCGCCGGUGACGAUGGUGAUCAUGACGGUGCUUCGGAGAUGGAGAUCACAAGCACAAGAUGAUGAUGGCCAUAUCAUAUCACUUAUAUUGAUUGCAUGUGAUGUUUAUCUUUUAUGCAUCUUAUCUUGCUUUGAUUGACGGUAGCAUUAUAAGAUGAUCUCUCACUAAAUUAGCAAGAAGUGUUCUCCCUGAGUAUGCACCGUUGCGAAAGUUCUUCGUGCUGAGACACCACGUGAUGAUCGGGUGUGAUAGGCUCUACGUUCAAAUACAACGGGUGCAAAACAGUUGCACACGCGGAAUACUCAGGUUAUACUUGACGAGCCAAGCAUAUACAGAUAUGGCCUCAGAACAUGGAGACCGAAAGGUCGAGCGUGAAUCAUAUAGUAGAUAUGAUCAACAUAAUGAUGUUCACCGAUGGAACUACUCCAUCUCACGUGAUGAUCGGACAUGGUUUAGUUGAUUUGGAUCACAUGAUCACUUAGAGGAUUAGAGGGAUGUCUAUCUAAGUGGGAGUUCUUAAGUAAUAUGAUUAAUUGAACUUAAAUUUAUCAUGAACUUAGUACCUGAUAGUAUCUUGCUUGUUUAUGUUGAUUGUAGAUAGAUGGCUCGUGCUGUUGUUCCAUUGAAUUUUAAUGCGUUCCUUGAGAAAGCAAAGUUGAAAGAUGAUGGUAGCAAUUACACAGACUGGGUCCGUAACUUGAGGGUUAUCCUCAUUGCUGCACAGAAGAAUUACGUCCUGGAAGCACCGCUGGGUGCCAGGCCUGCUGCUGGAGCAACACCAGAUGUUAUGAACGUCUGGCAGAGCAAAGCUGAUGACUACUCGAUAGUUCAGUGUGCCAUGCUUUACGGCUUAGAAUCGGAACUUCAAUGACGUUUUGAACGUCAUGGAGCAUAUGAGAUGUUUCAGGAGUUGAAGUUAAUAUUUCAAGCAAAUGCCCGGAUUGAGAGAUAUGAAGUCUCCAAUAAGUUCUAUAGCUGCAAGAUGGAAGAGAACAGUUCUGUCAGUGAGCAUAUACUCAAAAUGUCUGGGUAUAAUAAUCACUUGAUUCAAUUGGGAGUAAAUCUUCCAGAUGAUUGCGUCAUUGACAGAAUUCUCCAAUCACUGCCACCAAGCUACAAGAGCUUCAUGAUGAACUAUAAUAUGCAAGGGAUGAACAAGACUAUUCCCGAGCUCUUCGCAAUGCUGAAAGCUGCGGAGGUAGAAAUCAAAAAGGAGCAUCAAGUGUUGAUGGUUAACAAAACCACUAGUUUCAAGAAAAAGGGCAAAGGGAAGAAGAAGGGGAACUUCAAGAAGAACGGCAAGCAAGUUGCUGCUCAAGAGAAGAAACCCAAGUCUGGACCUAAGCCUGAAACUGAGUGCUUCUACUGCAAGCAGACUGGUCACUGGAAGCGGAACUGCCCAAAGUAUUUGGCGGAUAAGAAGGAUGGCAAGGUGAACAAAGGUAUAUAUGAUAUACAUGUUAUUGAUGUGUACCUUACUAAUGCUCGCAGUAGUACCUGGGUAUUUGAUACUGGUUCUGUUGCUAAUAUUUGCAACUCAAAACAGGGACUACAGAUUAAACGAAGAUUGGCUAAGGACGAGGUGACGAUGCGCGUGGGAAACGGUUCCAAAGUCGAUGUGAUCGCGGUACGCUACCUCUACAUCUACCUUCGGGAUUAAUAUUAGACCUAAAUAAUUGUUAUUUGGUGCCAGCGUUAAGCAUGAACAUUAUAUCUGGAUCUUGUUUGAUGCGAGACGGUUAUUCAUUUAAAUCAGAGAAUAAUGGUUGUUCUAUUUAUAUGAAUAAUAUCUUUUAUGGUCAUGCACCUUUGAAAAGCGGUCUAUUUUUGAUGAAUCUCGAUAGUAGUGAUACACAUAUUCAUAAUGUAGAAGCCAAAAGAUGCAGAGUUGAUAAUGAUAGUGCAAAUUAUUUGUGGCACUGCCGUUUAGGUCAUAUCGGUGUAAAGCGCAUGAAGAAACUCCAUACUGAUGGACUUUUGGAACCACUUGAUUAUGAAUCACUUGGUACUUGCGAACCGUGCCUUAUGGGUAAGAUGACUAAAACACCGUUCUCCGGCACUAUGGAGAGAGCAACAGAUUUGUUAGAAAUCAUACAUACCGAUGUAUGUGGUCCGAUGAAUAUUGAGGCUCGUGGAGGAUAUCGUUAUUUUCUCACAUUCAUAGAUGACUUAAGCAGAUAUGGGUAUAUCUACUUAAUGAAACAUAAGUCUGAAACGUUUGAAAAGUUCAAAGAAUUUUAGAGUGAAGUUGAAAAUCAUCGUAACAAGAAAAUAAAGUUUCUACGAUCUGAUCGUGGAGGAGAAUAUUUGAGUUACGAGUUUGGUGUACAUUUGAAAAACUGUGGAAUAGUUUCGCAACUCACUCCACCCGGAACACCACAGCGUAAUGGUGUGUCCGAACGUCGUAAUCGUACUUUACUAGAUAUGGUGCGAUCUAUGAUGUCUCUUACUGAUUUACCACUAUCGUUUUGGGGAUACGCUCUAGAGACGGCCGCAUUCACGUUAAACAGGGCACCAUCAAAAUCCGUUGAGACGACGCCUUAUGAACUAUGGUUUGGCAAGAAACCAAAGUUGUCGUUUCUGAAAGUUUGGGGCUGCGAUGCUUAUGUGAAAAAGCUUCAACCUGAUAAGCUCGAACCCAAAUUAGAGAAAUGUGUCUUCAUAGGAUAUCCAAAGGAAACUAUUGGAUACACCUUCUAUCACAGAUCCGAAGGCAAGACUUUUGUUGCUAAAAUCGGAAACUUUCUUGAGAAGGAGUUUCUCUCGAAAGAAGUGAGUGGGAGGAAAGUAGAACUUGACGAGGUAACUGUACCUGCUCCCUUGUUGGAAAGUAGUACAUCACAAAAAACUAUUUCUGUGACACCUACACCAAUAAGUGAGGAAGUUAAUGAUAAUGAUCAUGAAACUUCAGAACAAGAUACUACUGAACCUCGUAGAUCAACCAGAGUAAGAUCCGCACCAGAGUGGUACGGUAAUCCAGUUCUGGAAGUCAUGCUACUAGAUCAUGAUGAACCUACGAACUAUGAAGAAGCGAUGGUGAGCCCAGAUUCCGCAAAGUGGCUUGAAGCCAUGAAAUCUGAGAUGGGAUCCAUGUAUGAGAACAAAGUAUGGACUUUGGUUGACUUGCCCGAUGAUCGGCAAGCAAUUGAGAAUAAAUGGAUCUUCAAGAAAAAGACUGACGCUGACGGUAAUGUUACUGUCUAUAAAGCUCGACUUGUCGCAAAAGGUUUUUGACAAGUUCAAGGGGUUGACUACGAUGAGACCUUCUCACUCGUAGCGAUGCUUAAGUCUGUCCGAAUCAUGUUAGCAAUUGCCGCAUUUUAUAAUUAUGAAAUUUGGCAGAUGGAUGUCAAAACUGCAUUCCUGAAUGGAUUUCUGGAAGAAGAGUUGUAUAUGAUGCAACCGGAAGGUUUUGUCGAUCCAAAAGGAGCUAACAAAGUGUGCAAGCUCCAGCGAUCCAUUUAUGGACUGGUGCAAGCCUCUCGGAGUUGGAAUAAACGCUUUGAUAGUGUGAUCAAAGCAUUUGGUUUUAUACAGACUUUUGGAGAAGCCUGUAUUUACAAGAAAGUGAGUGGGAGCUCUGUAGCAUUUCUGAUAUUAUAUGUGGAUGACAUAUUGCUGAUUGGAAAUGAUAUAGAAUUUCUGGAUAGCAUAAAGGGAUACUUGAAUAAGAGUUUUUCGAUGAAAGACCUCGGUGAAGCUGCUUACAUAUUGGGCAUUAAGAUCUAUAGAGAUAGAUCGAGACGCUUAAUUGGACUUUCACAAAGCACAUGCCUUGACAAAAUUCUGAAAAAGUUCAAAAUGGAUCAAGCAAAGAAAGGGUUCUUGCCUGUGUUACAAGGUGUGAAGUUGAGUCAGACUCAAUGCCCGACCACUGUAGAAGAUAGAGAGAAAAUGAAAGAUGUUCCCUAUGCUUCAGCCAUAGGCUCUAUCAUGUAUGCAAUGCUGUGUACCAGACCUGAUGUGUGCCUUGCUAUAAGUUUAGCAGGGAGGUACCAAAGUAAUCCAGGAAUGGAUCACUGGAUAGCGGUCAAGAACAUCCUGAAAUACCUGAAAAGGACUAAGGAUAUGUUUCUCGUAUAUGAAGGUGACAAAGAGCUCACCGUAAAAGGUUAUGUUGAUGCAAGCUUUGACACUGAUCCAGACGAUUCUAAAUCGCAAACCGGAUACGUGUUUACAUUAAACGGUGGAGUUGUCAGUUGGUGCAGUUCUAAACAAAGCGUCGUAGCGGGAUCUACAUAUGAAGCGGAGUACAUAGCUGCUUCGGAAGCAGCGAACGAAGGAGUCUGGAUGAAGGAGUUCAUAUCCGAUCUAGGUGUCAUACCUAGUGCAUCGGGUCCAAUGAAAAUCUUUUGUGACAAUACUGGUGCAAUUGCCUUGGCAAAGGAAUCCAGAUUUCACAAGAGGACCAAGCACAUCAAGAGAUGCUUCAAUUCCAUCCGGGAUCUAGUCCAGGUGGGAGACAUAGAGAUUUGCAAGAUACAUACGGAUCUAAAUGUUGCAGACCCGUUGACUAAGCCUCUUCCACGAGCAAAACAUGAUCAGCAGCAAGGCUCCAUGGGUGUUAGAAUCAUUACUGUAUAAUCUAGAUUAUUGACUCUAGUGCAAGUGGGAGACUGAAGGAAAUAUGCCCUAGAGGCAAUAAUAAAGUUAUUAUUUAUUUCCUUAUAUCAUGAUAAAUGUUUAUUAUUCAUGCUAGAAUUGUAUUAACCGGAAACAUAAUACAUGUGUGAAUACAUAGACAAACUUAGUGUCACUAGUAUGCCUAUACUAGACUAGCUCGUUAAUCAAAAAUGGUUAUGUUUCCUAACCAUGAACAAUGUGUUGUUAUUUGAUUAACGAGGUCACAUCAUUAGUUGAAUGAUCUGAUUGACAUGACCCAUUUCAUUAACUUAGCACCCGAUCGUUUAGUAUGUUGCUAUUGCUUUCUUCAUGACUUAUACAUGUUCCUAUGACUAUAAGAUUAUGCAACUCCCGUUUACCGGAGGAACACUUUGUGUGCUACCAAACGUCACAACGUAACUGGGUGAUUAUAAAGGAGCUCUACAGGUAUCUCCAAAGGUAGAUGUUGGGUUGGCAUAUUUCGAGAUUAGGAUUUGUCACUCCGAUUGUCGGAGAGGUAUCUCUGGGCCCUCUCGGUAAUGAUCAUCACAUAAGCCUUGCAAGCACUGCAACUAAUAUGUUAGUUGUGAGAUGAUGUAUUACGGAACGAGUAAAGAGACUUGCCGGUAACGAGAUUGAACUAGGUAUUGGAUACCGACGAUCGAAUCUCGGGCAAGUAACAUACCGAUGACAAAGGGAACAACGUAUGUUGUUAUGCGGUCUGACCGAUAAAGAUCUUCGUAGAAUAUGUAGGAGCCAAUAUGGGCAUCCAGGUCCCGCUAUUGGUUAUUGACCGGAGACGUGUCUCGGUCAUGUCUACAUUGUUCUCGAACCAUAGGGUCCGCACGCUUAACGUUACGAUGACAGUUAUUAUGAGUUUAUGCAUUUUGAUGUACUGAAGUUAGUUCGGAGUCCCGUAUGUGAUCACGGACAUGACGAGGAGUCUUGAAAUGGUCGAGACAUAAAGAUUGAUAUAUUGCAAGCCUAUAUUUGGAUAUCGGAAGUGUUCCGGGUGAAAUCGGGAUUUUACCGCAGUACCGGGAGGUUACCGGAAACCCCCGGGAGCCAUAUGGGCCUUAUUAGGCUUUAGUGGAAAGGUGAAAGGGGCUGCCUAUGGUGGGCUGCGCGCCUCCCCCCCUCCCCUAGUCCUAUUAGGACUAGGAGAGGUGGCCGGCCACCUCUCUCUCUCUUUUCCCCUUGGGAAUCCUAUUUGGAAUAGGAUUGGGGGGGGGAGUCCUACUCCCGGUAGGAGUAGGACUCCUCCUGCGCCUCCAUAGGGAUGGCCGCACCCCUCCCCCUUGGCUCCUUUAUAUACGGAGGCAGGAUGCACCUCUAGACACACAAUUUGAUCAUUGAGAUCGUUCCUUAGCCGUGUGCGGUGCCCCCUGCCACCAUAUUCCACCUCGAUCAUAUCGUUGUAGUGCUUAGGCGAAGCCCUGCGUCGGUAAUACAUCAAGAUCGUCACCACGCCGUCGUGCUGACGGAACUCCUCCCCGAAGCUUUGCUGGAUCGGAGCCCUGGGAUCGUCAUCGAGCUGUACGUGUGCUAAGAACCCGGAGGUGCCGGAGUAACGGUGCUUGGAUCGGUCGGAUCGGGAAGAAGACAUACGACUACUUCCUCUACGUUGUGUCAACGCUUCUGUUGCAAUCUACAAGGGUACGUAGAUCAGACUCUCCCCCUCAUUGCUAUGCAUCACCAUGAUCUUGCAUGUGCGUAGGAAUUUUUUUGAAAUUACUACGUUCCCCAACAGUGGCAUCCGAGCCUAGGUUUUAUGGUUUGAUGUUAUUUGCACGAGUAGAACACAAGUGAGUUGUGGAUGAUACAAGUCAUACUGCCUACCAGCAUGUCAUACUUUGGUUCGGCGGUAUUGUUGGACGAGAUGACCCGGACCAACCUUACGCGUACGCUUACGCGAGACCGGUUCCCCCGACGUGCUUUGCACACAGGUGGCUUGCAGGCGACUGUCUCUCCAACUUUAGUUGAACCGAGUGUGGCUACGCCCGGUCCUUGCGAAGGUUAAAACGGAGUCUAUUUGACAAACUAUCGUUGUGGUUUUGAUGCGUAGGUGAGAUUGGUUCUUGCUUAAGCCCGUAGCAGCCACGUAAAACUUGCAACAAAAAAGUAGAGGACGUCUAACUUGUUUUUGCAGGGCAUGUUGUGAUGUGAUAUGGUCAAGACAUGAUGCUAAAUUUUAUUGUAUGAGAUGAUCAUGUUUUGUAACCGAGUUAUCGGCAACUGGCAGGAGCCAUAUGGUUGUCGCUUUAUUGUAUGCAAUGCAAUCGCGAUGUAAUGCUUUACUUUAUCACUAAACGGUAGCGAUAGUCGUGGAAGCAUAAGAUUGGCGAGACGACAAUGAUGCCACGAUGGAGAUCAAGGUGUCGCGCCGGUGACGAUGGUGAUCAUGACGGUGCUUCGGAGAUGGAGAUCACAAGCACAAGAUGAUGAUGGCCAUAUCAUAUCACUUAUAUUGAUUGCGUGUGAUGUUUAUCUUUUAUGCAUCUUAUCUUGCUUUGAUUGACGGUAGCAUUAUAAGAUGAUCUCUCACUAAAUUAGCAAGAAGUGUUCUCCCUGAGUAUGCACCGUUGCGAAAGUUCUUCGUGCUGAGACACCACGUGAUGAUCGGGUGUGAUAGGCUCUACGUUCAAAUACAACGGGUGCAAAACAGUUGCACACGCGGAAUACUCAGGUUAUACUUGACGAGCCAAGCAUAUACAGAUAUGGCCUCAGAACAUGGAGACCGAAAGGUCGAGCAUGAAUCAUAUAGUAGAUAUGAUCAACAUAAUGAUGUUCACCGAUGGAACUACUCCAUCUCACGUGAUGAUCGGACAUGGUUUAGUUGAUUUGGAUCACGUGAUCACUUAGAGGAUUAGAGGGAUGUCUAUCUAAGUGGGAGUUCUUAAGUAAUAUGAUUAAUUGAACUUAAAUUUAUCAUGAACUUAGUACCUGAUAGUAUCUUGCUUGUUUAUGUUGAUUGUAGAUAGAUGGCUCGUGCUGUUGUUCCAUUGAAUUUUAAUGCGUUCCUUGAGAAAGCAAAGUUGAAAGAUGAUGGUAGCAAUUACACGGACUGGGUCCGUAACUUGAGGGUUAUCCUCAUUGCUGCACAGAAGAAUUAUGUCCUGGAAGCACCGCUGGGUGCCAGGCCUGCUACUGGAGCAACACCAGAUGUUAUGAACGUCUGGCAGAGCAAAGCUGAUGACUACUCGAUAGUUCAGUGUGCCAUGCUUUACGGCUUAGAAUCGGGACUUCAAUGACGUUUUGAACGUCAUGGAGCAUAUGAGAUGUUUCAGGAGUUGAAGUUAAUAUUUCAAGCAAAUGCCCGGAUUGAGAGAUAUGAAGUCUCCAAUAAGUUCUAUAGCUGCAAGAUGGAAGAGAACAGUUCUGUCAGUGAGCAUAUACUCAAAAUGUCUGGGUAUAAUAAUCACUUGAUUCAAUUGGGAGUAAAUCUUCCAGAUGAUUGCGUCAUUGACAUAAUUCUCCAAUCACUGCCACCAAGCUACAAGAGCUUCAUGAUGAACUAUAAUAUGCAAGGGAUGAACAAGACUAUUCCCGAGCUCUUCGCAAUGCUGAAAGCUGCGGAGGUAGAAAUCAAAAAGGAGCAUCAAGUGUUGAUGGUUAACAAAACCACUAGUUUCAAGAAAAAGGGCAAAGGGAAGAAGAAGGGGAACUUCAAGAAGAACGGCAAGCAAGUUGCUGCUCAAGAGAAGAAACCCAAGUCUGGACCUAAGCCUGAAACUGAGUGCUUCUACUGCAAGCAGACUGGUCACUGGAAGCGGAACUGCCCAAAGUAUUUGGCGGAUAAGAAGGAUGGCAAGGUGAACAAAGGUAUAUAUGAUAUACAUGUUAUUGAUGUGUACCUUACUAAUGCUCGCAGUAGUACCUGGGUAUUUGAUACUGGUUCUGUUGCUAAUAUUUGCAACUCGAAACAGGGACUACGGAUUAAACGAAGAUUGGCUAAGGACGAGGUGACGAUGCGCGUGGGAAACGGUUCCAAAGUCGAUGUGAUCGCGGUCGGCACGCUACCUCUACAUCUACCUUCGGGAUUAAUAUUAGACCUAAAUAAUUGUUAUUUGGUGCCAGCGUUAAGCAUGAACAUUAUAUCUGGAUCUUGUUUGAUGCGAGACGGUUAUUCAUUUAAAUCAGAGAAUAAUGGUUGUUCUAUUUAUAUGAAUAAUAUCUUUUAUGGUCAUGCACCUUUGAAAAGCGGUCUAUUUUUGAUGAAUCUCGAUAGUAGUGAUACACAUAUUCAUAAUGUAGAAGCCAAAAGAUGCAGAGUUGAUAAUGAUAGUGCAAAUUAUUUGUGGCACUGCCGUUUAGGUCAUAUCGGUGUAAAGCGCAUGAAGAAACUCCAUACUGAUGGACUUUUGGAACCACUUGAUUAUGAAUCACUUGGUACUUGCGAACCAUGCCUUAUGGGUAAGAUGACUAAAACACCAUUCUCCGGCACUAUGGAGAGAGCAACAGAUUUGUUAGAAAUCAUACAUACCGAUGUAUGUGGUCCGAUGAAUAUUGAGGCUCGUGGCGGAUAUCGUUAUUUUCUCACCUUCACAGAUGACUUAAGCAGAUAUGGGUAUAUCUACUUAAUGAAACAUAAGUCUGAAACGUCUGAAAAGUUCAAAGAAUUUCAGAGUGAAGUUGAAAAUCAUCAUAACAAGAAAAUAAAGUUUCUACGAUCUGAUCGUGGAGGAGAAUAUUUGAGUUACGAGUUUGGUGUACAUUUGAAAAACUGUGGAAUAGUUUCGCAACUCACGCCACCCGGAACACCACAGCGUAAUGGUGUGUCCGAACAUCGUAAUCGUACUUUACUAGAUAUGGUGCGAUCUAUGAUGUCUCUUACUGAUUUACCGCUAUCGUUUUGGGGAUACGCUCUAGAGACGGCCGCAUUCACGUUAAACAGGGCACCAUCAAAAUCCGUUGAGAUGACGCCUUAUGAACUAUGGUUUGGCAAGAAACCAAAGUUGUCGUUUCUGAAAGUUUGGGGCUGCGAUGCUUAUGUGAAAAAGCUUCAACCUGAUAAGCUCGAACCCAAAUUAGAGAAAUGUGUCUUCAUAGGAUAUCCAAAGGAAACUAUUGGAUACACCUUCUAUCACAGAUCCAAAGGCAAGACUUUUGUUGCUAAAUUCGGAAACUUUCUUGAGAAGGAGUUUCUCUCGAAAGAAGUGAGUGGGAGGAAAGUAGAACUUGACGAGGUAACUGUACCUGCUCCCUUGUUGGAAAGUAGUACAUCACAGAAAACUGUUUCUACGACACCUACACCAAUAAGUGAGGAAGUUAAUGAUAAUGAUCAUGAAACUUAAGAACAAGAUACUACUGAACCUCGUAGAUCAACCAGAGUAAGAUCCGCACCAGAGUGGUACGGUAAUCCAGUUCUGGAAGUCAUGCUACUAGAUCAUGAUGAACCUACGAACUAUGAAGAAGCGAUGGUGAGCCCAGAUUCCGCAAAGUGGCUUGAAGCCAUGAAAUCUGAGAUGGGAUCCAUGUAUGAGAACAAAGUAUGGACUUUGGUUGACUUGCCCGAUGAUCGGCAAGCAAUUGAGAAUAAAUGGAUCUUCAAGAAAAAGACUGACGCUGACGGUAAUGUUACUGUCUAUAAAGCUCGACUUGUCGCAAAAGGUUUUCGACAAGUUCAAGGGGUUGACUGCGAUGAGACCUUCUCACCCGUAGCGAUGCUUAAGUCUGUCCGAAUCAUGUUAGCAAUUGCCGCAUUUUGUAAUUAUGAAAUUUGGCAGAUGGAUGUCAAAACUGCAUUCCUGAAUGGAUUUCUGGAAGAAGAGUUGUAUAUGAUGCAACCGGAAGGUUUUGUCGAUCCAAAAGGAGCUAACAAAGUGUGCAAGCUCCAGCGAUCCAUUUAUGGGCUGGUGCAAGCCUCUCGGAGUUGGAAUAAACGCUUUGAUAGUGUGAUCAAAGCAUUUGGUUUUAUACAGACUUUUGGAGAAGCCUGUAUUUACAAGAAAGUGAGUGGGAGCUCUGUAGCAUUUCUGAUAUUAUAUGUGGAUGACAUAUUGCUGAUUGGAAAUGAUAUAGAAUUUCUGGAUAGCAUAAAGGGAUACUUGAAUAAGAGUUUUUCGAUGAAAGACCUCGGUGAAGCUGCUUACAUAUUGGGCAUUAAGAUCUAUAGAGAUAGAUCGAGACGCUUAAUUGGACUUUCACAAAGCACAUGCCUUGACAAAAUUUUGAAAAAGUUCAAAAUGGAUCAAGCAAAGAAAGGGUUCUUGCGUGUGUUACAAGGUGUGAACUUGAGUCAGACUCAAUGCCCGACCACUGUAGAAGAUAGAGAGAAAAUGAAAGAUGUUCCAUAUGCUUCAGCCAUAGGCUCUAUCAUGUAUGCAAUGCUGUGUACCAGACCUGAUGUGUGCCUUGCUAUAAGUUUAGCAGGGAGGUACCAAAGUAAUCCAGGAAUGGAUCACUGGACAGCGGUCAAGAACAUCCUAAAAUACCUGAAAAGGACUAAGGAUAUGUUUCUCGUAUAUGGAGGUGACAAAGAGGUCACCAUAAAAGGUUAUGUUGAUGCAAGCUUUGACACUGAUCCGGACGAUUCUAAAUCGCAAACCGGAUACGUGUUUACAUUAAACGGUGGAGCUGUCAGUUGGUGCAGUUCUAAACAAAGCGUCGUAGCGGGAUCUACAUAUGAAGCGGAGUACAUAGCUGCUUCGGAAGCAGCGAACGAAGGAGUCUGGAUGAAGGAGUUCAUAUCCGAUCUAGGUGUCAUACCUAGUGCAUCGGGUCCAAUGAAAAUCUUUUGUGACAAUACUGGUGCAAUUGCCUUGGCAAAGGAAUCCAGAUUUCACAAGAGGACCAAGCACAUCAAGAGACGCUUCAAUUCCAUCCGGGAUCUAGUCCAGGUGGGAGACAUAGAGAUUUGCAAGAUACAUACGGAUCUGAAUGUUGCAGACCCGUUGACUAAGCCUCUUCCACGAGCAAAACAUGAUCAGCAGCAAGGCUCCAUGGGUGUUAGAAUCAUUACUGUAUAAUCUAGAUUAUUGACUCUAGUGCAAGUGGGAGACUGAAGGAAAUAUGCCCUAGAGGCAAUAAUAAAGUUAUUAUUUAUUUCCUUAUAUCAUGAUAAAUGUUUAUUAUUCAUGCUAGAAUUGUAUUAACCGGAAACAUAAUACAUGUGUGAGUACAUAGACAAACUUAGUGUCACUAGUAUGCCUCUACUAGACUAGCUCGUUAAUCAAAAAUGGUUAUGUUUCCUAACCAUGAACAAUGUGUUGUUAUUUGAUUAACGAGGUCACAUCAUUAGUUGAAUGACUUGAUUGACAUGACCCAUUUCAUUAACUUAGCACCCGAUCGUUUAGUAUGUUGCUAUUGCUUUCUUCAUGACUUAUACAUGUUCCUAUGACUAUGAGAUUAUGCAACUCCCGUUUACCGGAGGAACACUUUGUGUGCUACCAAACAUCACAACGUAACUGGGUGAUUAUAAAGGAGCUCUACAGGUAUCUCCAAAGGUAGAUGUUGGGUUGGCAUAUUUCGAGAUUAGGAUUUGUCACUCCGAUUGUCGGAGAGGUAUCACUGGGCCCUCUCGGUAAUGAUCAUCACAUAAGCCUUGCAAGCACUGCAACUAAUAUGUUAGUUGUGAGAUGAUGUAUUACGGAACGAGUAAAGAGACUUGCCGGUAACGAGAUUGAACUAGGUAUUGGAUACCGACGAUCGAAUCUCAGGCAAGUAACAUACCGAUGACAAAGGGAACAACGUAUGUUGUUAUGCGGUCUGACCGAUAAAGAUCUUCGUAGAAUAUGUAGGCAGGUCCCGCUAUUGGUUAUUGUCCGGAGACGUGUCUCGGUCAUGUCUACAUUGUUCUCGAACCGUAGGGUCCGCACGCUUAAUGUUACGUUGAUAAUUAUUAUGAGUUUAUGCAUUUUGAUGUACCGAAGUUAGUUCGGAGUCCCGGAUGUGAUCACGGACAUGACGAGGAGUCUCGAAAUGGUCGAGACAUAAAGAUUGAUAUAUUGGAAGCCUAUAUUUGGAUAUCGGAAGUGUUCCGGGUGAAAUCGGGAUUUUACCGGAGUACCGGGAGGUUACCGGAAACCCCCGGGAGCCAUAUGGGCCUUAUUGGGAUUUAGUGGAAAGGUGAAAGGGGCUGCCCAUGGUGGGCUGCGCGCCUCCCCCCUCCCCUAGUCCUAUUAGGACUAGGAGAGGUGGCCGGCCACCUCUCUCUCUCUUUUCCCCUUGGGAAUCCUAUUUGGAAUAGGAUUGGGGGGGGGGGGAGUCCUACUCCCGGUAGGAGUAGGACUCCUCCUGCGCCUCCAUAGGGCUGGCCGCACCCUUCCCCCUUGGCUCCUUUAUAUACGGAGGCAGGAGGCACCUCUAGACACACAAGUUGAUCAUUGAGAUCGUUCCUUAGCCGUGUGCGGCACCAUAUUCCACCUCGAUCAUAUCGUUGUAGUGCUUAGGCGAAGCCCUGCGUCGGUAAUACAUCAAGAUCGUCACCACGCCGUCGUGCUGACGGAACUACUCCCCGAAGCUUUGCUGGAUCGGAGCCCGGGGAUCGUCAUCGAGCUGUACGUGUGCUAAGAACUCAGAGGUGCCGGAGUAACGGUGCUUGGAUCGGUCGGAUCGGGAAGAAGACGUACGACUACUUCCUCUAUGUUGUGUCAACGCUUCCGUUGCGAUCUACAAGGGUACGUAGAUCAGACUCUCCCCCUCGUUGCUAUGCAUCACCAUGAUCUUGCGUGUGCGUAGGAUUUUUUUUGAAAUUACUACGUUCCCCAACACGAAGAACAAAGAUUAUUGAAAGUUCUAAGGAAGCAUCGAGAUGCUAUUGGAUAUACUCUUGAUGAUUUAAAGGGCAUUAAUUAGUCCCACUCUAUGUCAGCACAAAAUUAAUAUGGAACCUGAUGCUAAACCCGUUGUUGAUCACCAACAUCAGUUAAAUCCAAAAAUGAAGGAAGUGGUACGGAAAUCUUAAAACUUUUGGAAGCAGGUAUAAUCUAUCCUAUAGCUGAUAGUAGAUGGGUAAGUCCUGUUCAUUGUGUCCCUAAGAAAGGACGUAUAACUGUUGUUCCUAAUGGUAAGUAUGAACUUAUUCCACAAAGAAUUGUUACAGGCUAUAGAAUGGUAAUUGAUUUUAGAAAAUUAAACAAAGCAACUAGAAAAGAUCAUUGCCCUUUGCCUUUUAUUGAUCAAAUGCUUGAAAGAUUGUCUAAGCACACACAUUUUUGCUUCCUUGAUGAAUACUCUGGUUUUUCACAAAUACUUAUUUCUCAAUCUGAUCAAGAAAAGACCACUUCUACUUGUCCAUUUGGAACCUAUGCUUAUAGACGUAUGCCUUUCGGUUUAUGUAAUGCACCUGCUACUUUUCAAAGAUGUAUGGCUGCUAUAUUCCCUGACUUUUGUGAAAAGAUUGUUGAGGUUUUCAUGAAUGAUUUCUCUGUUUAUGGGAAGUAUUUUGAUGAUUUUUUAAGCACUCUUGAUCGAGUUUUGCAGAGAUGUGAACAAACAAAUCUUGUCUUGAAUUGGGAGAAGUGCCACUUUAUGGUUAAUGAAGGCAUUGUCUUGGGUCAUAAAAUUUCUGAAAGAGGUAUUGAAGCGGGCAAAGCUGAGGUUGAUGCAAUUGAGAAAAUGCCAUGUCCUAAAGAUAUAAAAGGUAUUCGUAGUUUCUUAGGUCAUGCUGGUUUCUAUAGGAGAUUUAUCAAAGACUUUUCUAAAAUUUCUAGGCCUCUUAUGAAUCUUUUGCAAAAGGAUAUUCCUUUUGUUUUUGAUGAUGAUUGUUUAGAAGCCUUUGAAACACUCAAGAAAGCCUUAAUUUCUGCACCUAUUGUUCAAACACCUGAUUGGAACCUUUUGAAAUUAUUUGUGAUGCUAGUGACUAUGCUGUUGGUGCUGUUCUAGGACAAAGAGUUGAUAGAAACUGAAUGUUAUUCAUUAUGCUAGUAAAACUCUAGACAGUGCUCAACGAAAGUAUGCUACUACUGAAAAAGAAUUCUUAGCAGUGGUGUUUGCUUGUGAUAAAUUUAGACCUUAUAUUGUUGAUUCCAAAGUAAUUGUUCACACUGAUCAUGCUGCUAUUAUAUAUCUUAUGAAAAAGAAAGAUGCUAAACCUAGACUAAUUCGAUGGGUUCUCUUGUUACAAGAAUUUGAUUUACAUAUCAUUGAUAGAAAAGGAGCUGAGAACCCCGUAGCUGAUAAUUUAUCUAGGCUUGAAAAUGUUCCUGAUGACCCAUUACCAUUGACGAUAGUUUUCCUGAUGAGCAGUUAGCUGCAAUAAAUGUUGCUCAUAGUACUCCUUGGUAUGCUGACUAUGCUAAUUACAUUGUUGCUAAAUAUUUACCACCUAGCUUUACAUAUCAAUAAAACAAAAAAAAUCUUCUAUGAUUUAAGACAUUACUUUUGGGAUGACCCACAUCUUUAUAAAGAAGGAGUAGAUGGUAUUAUUAGACGUUGUGUACCUAAGCAUGAAUGGGGACAAAUCCUACAGAAAUGUCACUCUGAAGCUUAUGGAGGGCAUCAUGCUGGAGAAAGAACUGCUCACAUGGUAUUGCAGUCUAGAUUUUAUUGGCCUACUCUCUUCAAGGGUGCCCGUAAGUUCAUCUUUUGUGAUGAAUGUCAAAGAAUAGGUAAUAUCGGUAAGCGUCAAGAAAUUUCUAUGAAUUAGUCACUUGCUGUUGAACCAUUUGAUGUUUGGGUAUUUGAUUACACGAGGCCUUUUCCUUCCUCUAAUGGGUAUACACAUAUUUUGGUUGCCGUUGAUUAUGUUAUUAAAUGGGUAGAAGCUAUUCCAACCAGUAGUGCUGAUCACAACACCUCUAUUAAAAUUCUUAAGGAAGUUAUUUUCCCAAGGUUUGGAGUCCCUAGAUAUUUAAUGACUGAUGGUGGUUCACACUUUAUUCAUGGUGCUUUCUGUAAAAUGCUUGCCAAGUAUGAUGUUAACCAUAGAAUUGCAUCACCUUAUCAUCCUCAUUCUAGUUGUCAAGUUGAACUUAGAAAUAGGGAAAUAAAAUUAAUUUUGCAAAAGACUGUCAAUAGGUCUAGGAAGAAUUGGUCUAAGAAAUUAGAUGAUGCACUUUGGGCUUAUAGAACAACAUAUAAAAAUCCUAUGGGUAUAUCUCCUUAUAAAAUGGUUUAUGGAAAAGCUUUUCAUUUGCCUAUUGAGUUAGAACAUAAAGCAUAUUGGGCAAUCAAAGAGCUUAAUUAUGAUUUCAAACUUGCUGGUGAAAAGAGGUUAUUUGAUAUUAGCUCAUUAGAUGAAUCGAAAACCCAAGAUUAUGAAAAUGCAAAAUUAUUGAAAGAAAAAGUUAAAAGAUGGCAUGACAAAAGAAUCCAAAUGCGUGAGUUAAAAGUUGGAGAAUGAUGACCCACAAGUAUAGGGGAUCUAUCGUAGUCCUUUCGAUAAGUAAGAGUGUCGAACCCAACGAGGAGCAGAAGGAAAUGAUAAGCGGUCUUCAGCAAGAUAUUUUCUGCAAGUACUGAAAUAAGUGGUAACAGAUAGUUUUGUGAUAAGAUAAUUUGUAAUGAGCAACAAGUAACAAAAGUAAAUAAAGUGCAUCAAGGUGGCCCAAUCCUUUUUGUAGCAAAGGACAAGCUUGGACAAACUCUUAUAUAAGGAAAAGCGCUCCCGAGGACACAUGGGAAUAUCGUCAAGCUAGUUUUCAUCACAUUCAUAUGAUUCACGUUCGGUACUUUGAUAAUUUGAUAUGUGGGUGAACCGGUGCUUGGGUGCUGUUCUUACUUGAACAAGCAUCCCACUUAUGAUUAACCUCUAUUGCAAGCAUCUGCAACUACAACAAAAGUAUUAAGGUAAACCUAACCAUAGCAUGAAACAUAUGGAUCCAAAUCAGCCCCUUACGAAGCAACACAUAAACUAGGGUUUAAGCUUCUGUCACUCUAGCAACCCAUCAUCUACUUAUUACUUCCCAAUGCCCUUCUCUAGGCCCAAAUAAUGGUGAAGUGUUAUGUAGUCGACGUUCACAUAACACCACUAGAGGCUAGACAACAUACAUCUCAUCAAAAUAUCGAACGAAUACCAAAUUCACAUGACUACUAAUAGCAAGACUUCUCCCAUGUUCUCAGGAACAAACGUAACUACUCACAAAGCAUAUUCAUGUUCAUAAUUAGAGGGGUAAUAAUAUGCAUAAAGGAUCUGAACAUAUGAUCUUCCACCAAAUAAACCAACUAGCAUCAACUACAAGGAGUAAUCAACACUACUAGCAACCUACUAGCACCAAUCCCGGACUUGGAGACAAGAAUUGGAUACAAGAGAUGAACUAGGGUUUUGAGAUAAGAUGGUGCUGGUGAAGAUGUUGAUGGAGAUUGCCCUCUCCCGAUGAGAGGAACGUUGGUGAUGACGAUGGCGAUGAUUUCCCCCUCCCGGAGGGAAGUGUCCCCGGCAGAACAGCUCUGCUGGUGCCCUAGAUUGGUUCCGCCAAGGUUCCGCCUUGUGGCGGCGGAGUCUCGUCCCGAAAGGUUGCUUCUUAUUUUUUUUCUCGACGAAAGACCUCAUAUAGCAGAAGAUGGGCAUCGGAGAGCCAACAGGGGGCCUUCGAUGAGGGAAGCAGAGGUUUCCAUGCGCUUUUAUGGUUGGAUGCAUAAAAUCUCAAUGCGAAAGAACGUCACUUUAUAUUGCCACUUGUGAUAUGAACCUUUAUUAUGCAGUCUAUCGCUUUUAUUACUUCCACAUCACAAGAUCGUAUAAAUCUUAUUUCCCCCACACCAAUCAAUCAUACAUAUUUAGAGCAAUUUUUAUUGCUUUGCACCGAUGACAACUUACUUGAAGGAUCUUACUCAAUCCAUAGGUAGAUAUGGUGGACUCUCAUGGCAAAACUGGUUUAAGGGUUUUGGAAGCACAAGUAGUAUCUCUACUUGGUGCUAAGAAUUUGGCUAGCAUGAGGGGGAAAGGCAAGCUCAACAUGUUGGAGGAUCCAUGAAAACAUACUUUAUCUCAGAUAUAAGAAAACAUAAUUCAUUAUGUUGUCUUCCUUGUCCAACAUCAACUCUUUAGCAUGUCAUAUUUUAAUGAGUGCUCCCAAUCAUAAAAGAUGUCAAUAAUAGUAUAUAUAUAUGUGAAACCUCUCUUUCCUUAUUACUUCCUAUUAAUUGCAACAAUGACCAAAGCUAUGUCUGCCACUCCCAACAACUUUUAACCAUCAUACUCUUUCUAUGUGAAGUCAUUACUCUCAACAAGAUCAAUAUGCACUCUUUGUUUCUUUUUAUUCUUAUUCUUUCUCUUUUAUUCACUCAAGAUCAUAGAAAGAUAAUCAAGCCCUUGACUCAACACAAAUCUUUAUUAUAUAUAUAUAGCUCACGAACUCGAUUACAUAGAGAGAUCAUAAAGCAAAACUCAAAACUAGAUCAUGCCAUAAACUUUAUUCUACUAGAUCAUGAUACUACUAAUAGGAUCAAACUAAGAAAAACGGUAAAGAUAGGAGCGUGAUGGUGAUACAAUACCGGGGCACCUCCCCCAAGCUUGGCGGUUGCCAAGGGGAGUGCCCAUACCCAAGUGAUUAUGUCUCCUUCUUUGUUGGUGAAGAGGGUGGAGGUGUUGUCGAUGAUGCAGACUUGUCAUCCAUCUUCCAAGGCAUAGGCUCACCAUCAUAGAAGGAUGAUCGAGUCUCCGGGAUCCUCAAAUCUGCAGCCAAACUCAUCCUUUUGAAUCUAUAUUCAUACUCAUAGUUUUGGUUUUGCAGGUCAUAGAUUUGGGCUUGGAGGUGCUCGAUCUUCUCAUGAAGCUUCAAGAUGGCCUCCCCGAUGUUGUCAGCAUCCAACUUGUGGUUGCUAGUGAACUCCGCGAUCAUCAUGUGGUUGGAGUUGAGUCCACGUUCCACCAUCCCUUGACACUUGAAAACUUGUUGCUCCACUGCUUUGAGCCUCGUCUCCACGCUUCCGGUCCCCUUUGGUCCCUCUUCAUUGUGGAUGUGCAGCAACCCAUCAUGCAACUCAAUGGUUUGAGGGUGUCGCAGCACCUCCGCGAGGUAAGGGUUGAUGACCUUCUCGAAGAACUUGUCCUUGGAAGCACUUGGGGACGUCAUGAUAAUCUAGAUCUGUCAGAAAAACAGCUCGAAACAAGAACAGAGGAGAAUUGCGUGAUACGGGAAUCAAAACCUUGAGGAGAAUAUAUGAUGAAUUUUUACCGACCAAAAUACGUAUCGUGCAAGAAAACGGAGUCCGGAAGGCACACGAGGUGCUCACGAGGUAGGGGGGCGCACCCAGAGGGAGGGGGGGGGUGCCCUCCACCCUCGUGAGCACCUCGUGUGCCUUCCAGACUGCUACUUAUUUUUCUAUUUUUCUAAAUAUUCCAAAACGGAGAAAUAUUGCCUUAAAACUUGUUUUGGAGUCGGUUUACUUACCGUACCACAUACCUAUUCCUUUUCGGAGUCUGAAAUGGUCUGGAAAGUGUCCCUUAUGUAUUCCUCCGGGGUUACGGUUUCAAUAACAUUGGUUUGAACAUUUAUAGGAUUACCUGAGAUAUAAUGUUUAAUUCUUUGACCGUUCACCACCUUUGGAUUUGUGCCUUCGAAAUUGUUGAUUGUUAUGGCACCGGAACGAUAGACCUCCUCGAUAACGUAGGGGCCUUCCCAUUUUGAGAGAAGUUUUCCUGCAAAAAAUCUUAAACGAGAGUUGUAUAGCAAUACAUAAUCACCUACGUUAAACUCACGCUUUUGUAUCCUUUUGUCAUGCUAUCUUUUAACUUUUUCAUUAAACAAUUUGGCAUUUUCGUAGGCUUGGGUUCUCCAUUCAUGAAGUGAGCUAAUAUAAAAUAACCUCUUCUCACCGGCAAGUUUGAAAUCAUAAUUGAGCUCUUUAAUAGCCCAAUAUGCCUUAUGUUCUAGUUCGAGAGGUAAAUGACAUGCUUUUCCAUAAACCAUUUUAUACGGGGACAUACCCAUAGGAUUCUUAUAUGCAGUUCUAUAGGCCCAUAAUGCAUCAUCAAGUUUCUUGGACCAAUUCUUUCUAGACCUAUUGACCGUCUUUUGCAAAAUUAAUUUGAGUUCUCUAUUACUCAAUUCUACUUGACCACUAGACUGUGGGUGAUAAGGAGAUGCAAUUCUAUGAUUAACAUCAUAUUUAGCAAGCAUUUUACGGAAAGCACCAUGAAUAAAAUGUGAACCACCAUCAGUCAUUAAAUAUCUAGGAACUCCAAACCUUGGAAAGAUAACUUCUUUAAGCAUUUUAAUAGAAGUGUUAUGAUCAGCACUACUAGUUGGAAUAGCUUCUACCCACUUAGUAACGUAAUCAACAGCAACUAAGAUAUGUGUAUAACCAUUAGAGGAAGGAAAAGGUCCCAUAUAGUCAAAGCCCCAAACAUCAAAUGGUUGAAUAACAAGUGAAUAAUUCAUAGGAAUUUCUUGACGUCUACUAAUAUUACCAAUUCUUUGACAUUCAUCACAAGAUAAGACAAACUUACGGGCAUCCUUGAAGAGAGUAGGCCAAUAAAAACCAGAUUGUAGUACCUUAUGUGCAGUUCUAUCUCCAGCAUGGUGUCCUCCAUAAGCUUCGGAGUGACACUUGCGUAGGAUCUGUUCCUGUUCAUGCUCAGGUACACAACGUCUAAUAACACCAUCUACUCCUUCUUUAUAAAGAUGUGGGUCAUCCCAAAAGUAAUGUCUCAAAUUAUAGAAAAACUUUUUCUUUUGCUGAUAUGUGAAACUAGGUGGUAUAAAUUUAGCAAAAAUGUAAUUAGCAUAAUAAGCAUACCAUGGAGUACUACGAGAAGUAUUUAUGACGUUUAGUUGUUCAUCAGGAAAGCUAUCAUCAAUAGGUAGUGGGUCAUCAAGAAUAUUUUCUAACCUAGACAAGUUGUCUGCAACGGGGUUCUCAGCUCCCUUUCUAUCAACAAUAUGCAGAUCAAAUUCUUGUAGCAAGAGAACCCAUCUAAUAAGUCUAGGUUUAGCAUCUUUCUUUUCCAUAAGAUAUUUAAUAGCAGCAUGAUCGGUGUGAAUAGUUACUUUAGAAUCAACAAUAUAAGGUCUAAACUUAUCACAAGCAAAUACAACUGCUAAGAAUUCUUUUUCAGUUGUAGCAUAAUUUCUUUGAGCAUUGUCUAAAGUUUUACUAGCAUAAUGUAUAACAUUUAAUUUCUUAUCGACUCUUUGCCCUAGAACAGCACCUACAGCAUAAUCACUAGCAUCACACAUAUUGUUCAGCCACCUGAUUGGAAUUCUUAGCACCUGAUUGGAAUUUACCCUUUGAAAUUAGGGACAAUUGCAUUUUUGCCCCUAGUUGGUUCCUACCCACGGGGUUUUCCCUUACUUUUCGAGCUUGCUCAGUUUUGCCCUUACUUUUUCCGUCGUGGUCCCUCGAAUGCCCUUUGACCGUUUGACCAAAACUUUGAAAAUUCAUAACUAAUUCAUAUGAACUCAGGAAAAUGCAAAUAAGAUAUGAAAAUCUUCAGAUAAACAUUACCUUUAUGUGCAUAUCAUUCGCAUUCGGGACAACAACACCCUUUAAACUAACUGAGGUAAUUAAUGUUAUUAACAUUAUUAAAAAUAAAAAGGUAUAAACAAUAUUUUUCAUGAAUAAAAAUUACAUGCAAAUGUAGGUGAUGUUUCCUGAACAUCCAGAUAUCUUAUUUGCAUUUUUCUGAGUUCGUAUCAUCUUGUUAUGAAUGUUCUAACAACUUUGACCAUUAUUUGGAAACAUCAUAACAAAUUGAUAAGAACUCAGAAAAAUGCAAAUAAGAUAUCAUGAUGUUCAGGAAACAUCACCUACAUUUGCAUGUAAUUUUUAUUCAUGAAAAAUAUAUUGUUUAUACCUUUUUAUUUUUAAUAAUGUUAAUAACAUUAAUUACCUCAGGUAGUCUAAAGGGUGCUUUUGUCCUGAAUGGAAAUGAUAUGCACAUAAUGGUAAUGUUUAUCCAAACAUUUUAAUAUCUUAUUUGCAUUUUUCUGAGUUCAUAUGAAUUAGUUAUGAAUUUUCAAAGUUUUGGUCAAAUGGUCAAAGGGCAUUCGAGGGACCUCGACGGAAAAAGUAAGGGCAAAACUGAGCAAGCUCGAAAAGUAAGGGCAAAACCCGUGGGUAGGAACCAACUAGGGGCAAAAAUGCAAUUGUCCCUAAUUUCAAAGGGUAAAUUCCAAUCAAGUGGCUGAACAACAGGUGCAGAGAUCAAUGCUUUCUUAAGUAUUUCAAAUGCUUCUACACAAUCAUCAUCAAAGACAAAUGGUAUAUAUUUUUGUAAUAAAUUAGUCAGAGGCCGAGAAAUUUUUGAGAAGUCCUUAAUGAACCUUCUAUAAAAUCCGGCAUGACCAAGGAAACUUCUUAUACCUUUGAUGUCCUUGGGACAUGGCAUUUUUUCAAUAGCAUCAACCUUGGCUUUAUCAACUUCAAUACCUCUUUCAGAAACUUUAUGCCCCAAGACAAUACCUUCAUUAACCAUAAAGUGGCACUUUUGCCAGUUCAAGACAAGAUUAGUUUCUUCACAUCUCUGCGAAACUCGAUCAAGUUUGCUUAAGCAAUCAUCAAAAGAAGAUCCAUAGAUGGAAAAGUCGUCCAUGAAAACCUCACAAAUCUUUUUACAAAAGUCAAAGAAUAUAGCCAUCAUGCAUCUUUGAAAGGUAGCAGGUGCAUUACAUAAACCAAAAGGCAUACGUCUAUAAGCAAAAGUACCAAAAGGGCAUGUAAAAGUAGUCUUUGAUUGAUCUUUAGCCGACACAGGUAUUUGAGAGAAACCAGAAUAACCAUCUAGAAAGCAGUAGUGUGUAUGUUUGCAUAAUCUUUCUAGCAUUUGAUCAAUAAAAGGUAAGGGGUAAUGAUCUUUCUUAGUAGCCUUAUUUAAUUUGCGGAAAUCAAUUACCAUCCUAUAUCCUGUAAUAAUUCUUUGUGGAAUCACUUCAUCUUUAUCAUUAGGAACAACAGUAAUACCUCCCUUCUUAGGGACACAAUGGACAGGACUUACCCACUGACUAUCAGCAACGGGAUAAAUUAUACCUGCCUCCAGAAGCUUUAGUAUUUAUUUUCUUACCACUUCUUUCAUUUUAGGAUUCAAACGUUGUUGAGGAUCACGAACUAGUUUGGCAUCUGCUUCCAAAUUUAUUUUAUGUUGACAUAGAGUGGGACUGAUGCCCUUAAGAUCAUCAAGAGUAUAUCCAAUAGCAGCACGGUGCUUUUUCAGAGUUUUCAAUAAUCUUUCUUCUUCAUGCUCUGAAAGGUUAGCACUAAUAAUAACAGGAUAUACAUUCUUUUCAUCAAGAUAAGCAUAUUUAAGAUUAUCAGGCAAAGGUUUAAGCUCAAACACGGGAUCACCCUUGGGUGGAGGAGGAUCCCCUAGGAUUUCAACAGGAAAAUUGUGUUUCAAAAUAGGCUCUUGUUUAAAGAAUACUUCAUCUAUUUCCCUUCUUUCAUUCAUGAACAUAUCAUUUUCAUGGUCUAGCAAAUAAUGUUCUAAAGGAUCACUAGGAGGUACGACAAUAGAAGCAAGACCAAUAAUUUCAUCCUUACUAGGUAAUUCUUCUUCAUGAUGUUGUUUACUAAAUUUAGAGAAACUAAACUCAUGAAUCAUAUCAUCCAAGCCAAUAGUAACAACAUUCUUUUCGCAAUCUAUCUUAGCAUUAACAAUGCUCAAGAAGGGUCUACCAAAUAUAAUUGGACAAAAGCUAUCUUGUGGGGAACCAAGAACAAGAAAAUCAGCAGGAUAUCUAGUUUUCCCACACAAGACUUCAACAUCUAUAACAAUUCCUACUGCCGAUAUAAUAUCUCUAUUGGAAAGUUUAAUUGUAACAUCAAUAUCUUCUAUCUCAGCGGGUGCAAUUUCAUGUUUAAUUUCUUUGUAUAAAGUAUGCGGUAUAACACUAGCACUAGCACCUAUAUCACAUAAGCCAUGAUAACAAUGAUCUCCUAUUUUGACAGAAAUAACAGGCACGCCUACCAUAGGUCUAUGUUUAUCUUUAGCUCCAGGUUUAGCAAUUCUAGCAGUUUCACUGCAGAACUAAAUAACAUGCCCAUCAAUAUUAUCAGACAAGAGAUCUUUAACAAUAGCAAUAUUAGGUUCUACUUUAACUUGCUCAGGAGGUGUAUAAGUUCUAAUAUUGCUUUUACGAACCACAGUUGAAGCUUUAGCAUGAUCCUUUAUUCUAACAGGGAAAGGUGGUUUCUCAACAUAAGAAGUAGGAACAAUAGGAUCAUUAGAAGUGAUAGUCUUUUCUUCAACUUUAAUAGGUGCAACUACUUUUACUUCUAUGGGAGGAUGAUAUUUAAACCACUUCUCCUUGGGGAGAUCAACAUAAGUAGCAAAAGAUUCACAGAAAGAAGCUACUAUCUCAGAGUCAAGUCCAUAUUUAGUGCUAAACUUACGGAAAAUAUCGGUAUCCAUAAAAGAUUUAACACAAUCAAACUUAGGUGUCAUACCUGACUCCUUACCUUCGUCGAGAUCCCAAUCUUCAGAGUUGCGUUUAAUUCUAUCCAAUAAAUCCCAUUUAAAUCAAUAGUCUUCAUCAUAAAAGAGCCAUCACAAGAAGUAUCGAGCAUGGUGCGAUUGUUUUCAGAAAGCCGGGCAUACAAGUUUUGAAUAAUUGUUUCUCUUGGGAGAUCAUGAUUGGGGCAUGAAUAUAACAUUGAUUUAAGCCUCCCCCAAGCUUGAGCGAUGCUUUCUCCUUCGCAAGGCCAAAAAUUAUAUAUAUAAUUGCGAUCACGAUGAACAAGAUGCAUAGGAUAAUACUUUUGAUGAAAUUCCAAUUUCAAUCUUCUAUAGUUCCAUGAUCUCAUAUCAUCACAUAGCCUAUACCAUGUCAAUGCAUCUCCCUUCAAAGAUAAAGGGAAGACCUUCUUCUUAGAAACAUCAUUGGGUAUACCUGCAAGCUUAAAUAAUCCACAAACUUCAUCCACAUAUAUUAGGUGCUCAUCAGGAUGCUUUGUUCCAUCUCCUGUAAAAGGAUUAGCUAGCAGUUUUUCUAUCAUACCCGAAGGAAAUUCAAAGGGAACAUUUUCAUUUUCAGUAGGUUCAGUAGGUUGAGGAGCAACUCUUUGCUCUACUGGACGGGGUGAAGAUACCCCGAACAAGCCCCUCAGAGGAUUACUUUCCAUAGUAACAAGCGACAGUAAAUUUCAGCACACUAUAUAAAUUUUUCCUUACCAAAUUCCACCUACCAAAGGCGCUUCACUCCCCGGCAAUGGCACCAGAAAAGAGUCUUGAUGACCCACAAGUAUAGGGGAUCUAUCAUAGUCCUUUCGAUAAGUAAGAGUGUUAAACCCAAGGAGGAGCAGAAGGAAAUGAUAAGCGGUUUUCAGCAAGGUAUUUUCUGCAAGUACUGAAAUAAGUGGUAACAAAUAGUUUUGUGAUAAGAUAAUUUGUAACGAGCAACAAGUAACAAAAGUAAAUAAAGUGCAGCAAGGUGGCCCAAUCCUUUUUGUAGCAAAGGACAAGCCUAGACAAACUCUUAUAUAAGGAAAAGCGCUCCCGAGGACACAUGGGAAUAUCGACAAGCUAGUUUUCAUCACGUUCAUAUGAUUCACGUUCGGUACUUUGAUAAUUUGAUAUGUGGGUGGACCGGUGCUUGGGUGCUGUUCUUAUUGAACAAGCAUCCCACUUAUGAUUAACCUCUAUUGCAAGCAUCCGCAACUACAACAAAAGUAUUAAGGUAAACCUAACUGUCGGUGUCAAAACCGUCGGAUCUCGGGUAGGGGGUCCCGAACUGUGCGUCUAGGCCGGAUGGUAACAGGAGGCAGGGGACACAAUGUUUUACCCAGGUUCGGGCCCUCUUGAUGGAGGUAAAACCCUAUGUCCUGCUUGAUUAAUAUUGAUGAUAUGGGUAGUACAAGAGUAGAUCUACCACGAGAUUGAGGAGGCUAAACCCUAGAAGCUAGCCUAUGGUAUGAUUGUAUGUUAUGGUUGUUGUCCUACGGACUAAAACCCUUCGGUUUAUAUAGACACCGAAGAGGGUUAGGGUUACACAAGGUCGGUUACAAAGGAGAAGAUAUCCAUAUCCGUAUUGCCUAGCUUGCCUUCCACGCCAAGUAGAGUCCCAUCCGGACACGAGACAAAGUGUUCAAUCUUGUAUCUUCAUAGUCUAACAGUCCGGCCAAAGGAUAUAGUCCAGCUGUCCGGAGACCCCCUAAUCCAGGACUCCCUCAGUAGCCCCUGAACCAGGCUUCAAUGACGAUGAGUUCGGCGUGCAGUAUUGUCUUCGGCAUUGCAAGGCGGGUUCCUUCUCCGAAUACAUCAUAGAAGAAUUUGAACACUAGGAUAGUGUCCGACCCUGCAAAAUAAGUUCCACAUUCCACCAUAGAGAGAAUAAUAUUUUCGUAGAUCUAGUUUGCUGGCUUGUUUUGGCAGCAUGACGUUAUGUCAUGGCCCGGUGAUUAUUUGAACCGUUUCCUUCAACCAGCCCCGGACAUAACGCGAGGCAGUUUUUCGACACGUCUUGUCAAAGCAGAGAUCGUGUUCCCAUAUUACGGGAUUCUCAUCAAUACGGGUGUGGGUAACUCAACCGCGCCAUCAAUUACGGCGCUUGGGGGAUAAGUGAGUUUUAUCAGGCAAGUGGGGACGCUUAGUUUUGUCCGCCCAUAUAAAGGGAUAAGGAUUCACCUUUCUAUCCACGCCUUCUUCCUCCCUUGCUCAUCCGUUUUCGCACACUCGAGCUCUAGCGCCCAAGUCCACACUUCCCACCUCAACCUUCUCCAACCAUGUAUGGAGCGGGAGGCAGGUGGAUGGUCUCCUCCAUCACGGAGGGAGACAUCAAGAAACUGAGGAGAGCCGGAUACCUGCCCGACGACAUCGCGCACCGGCUCCCAGAUGAGGGGCAGCUCAUCCCCACCCCCAGGCCCCAUGAGAGGGUAGUAUUCCUCACCCAUUUCCUCAGCGGACUGGGAUUCCCUCUCCAUCCAUUCGUCCGGGGGCUCAUGUUCUAUUACGGCCUGGAUUUCCACGAUCUGGCCCCGAACUUCAUCCUCAACAUCUCGGCGUUUAUCGUCGUGUGCGAGGCCUUCCUCCACAUCAAGCCCCACUCCGGCUUAUGGCUAAAGACCUUCAAUGUCAAGCUGAAGGUGGUGGGCGGCCGCCAGGCGGAGUGCGGAGGCACCAUGGUGGGAAAGAUGCCCAACGUAACAUGGAUUGAGGGCUCCUUUGUGGAAACCAUAAAGGGGUGGAAAUCGGGGUGGUUCUACAUCACCGAGCCGCGCGACCCUGUAUGGGCAGCGGCCCCCGAGUUCCGAUCUGGCAACCCCACGCGGCUGACCUCCUGGAAAGAGAAGGGCCUGUCCUGGGGUAGUUCGGAAGAGCUGACCGGACUCCAAACAUGUAUUCAAAACAUGGUGAACAAGAAGCUCAAGCUCGUCAACAUAGUCCAAGUUAUGCUCAUCCGCCGGAUCCUCCCGUGCCAAAAACGGGAGUUCAACUUGUGGGAGUUUGACCCGGCGCAGCACCGAACUCUGAACAGGCUCUUUAACACGACUCAUGAAGAUGCCUGGAGGGUGCUGUUCAAAAGUGCCGAGGUCCCCCCUCCUAUUACUAAGGAUCGCGGAUUCAGCGCAAAGCGCCAAGCCAGUGCAGUAAGCUGCUUUACCUUUCACAGGAUACUUAUUUUUUUAUAGAUUGACUCUAUGCGGGAUCUAAACUGCCGUACCUUUGACAGGACUGGCAGAAGAUGGCCGGACAGAUCGACUGUCCGGCUCCUUUGCCCGAAGGCCCCGCAGACGCUCUUCUGGCGAAGAUGUUGACUCCGGCCCCUUAUACGGUGCCGGAGAAGACCAAGAAGGCCAAGGGAACCCGAGAGAGUUCCCGACGCCAGGCGUCGUCGGACUCACCGUCCGAUGACUCUGCGACGCACUCUUCCCCCGAAGACGAGGAAGAAGAAGAAGAAGAUGCUCCCCCACCGACUGGGGGAGACAGGAAAAGGAAGGCCACCCCAACUGGGGGGGCCGAAGGGUCCAAGAAGGGAAGGACUCUCCUUCCGGACAGCUCCACCGCCGCCGACGAAGGCGAAGACGAGUGGUUGCCCAGGGCCAAGCCCCCGGGGAGAUCGUAAGUAUUCAGAUACCAGAGUAACCCAUAGGAUUCCUUUGUUGCACUACUUUCCCUAACGCCGAACACAAUUAUGCAGGCCGCCAUGAGCCAGUAUUGAUGUAUCGUCGGACGGCUCCUUGGGUUUGUCGGACAUGGAUAGAGAUCCAGUCCCGACCGCCACCUCCCCUCAUCCUGCCGACGACGCCGAGGUGUUGUCUCAAGAGGCACCAGAUUGAGGGGAGACAAUCCCGGAGGCGCCUCAAGGCGACCUUCCGGACUUCAGGAGCCGAGGGGACGGGGCCCCUGAGAGCUAAGAGUUCGGCUCUCAGCCGAACACCGCACCGGAACCUCCAGCGGUUCCAGGCUCGGGCAGGCGGCCUCCUUCUAAGAGGGGCAAGACGCCUGUGCCGGUGACCUCUGUCCAUCCAGAGGCGCCGGACAAUCUGCUGGAAGCGCUUUGCAGCGCUUCCAUCGACGAGGAGCACCGCACUAUCAUGAGUGCGGUGAUCCAGAAGGUUCAGUCCGCCAAGAGCGGAUUGACUGAAGCCUGUGCCAGCCUUCUAACAGGCUUCGAGGUAAGUGUUUUAAAAUGUAGUAGAAAUAUUACCGCAUAGACAGUAGCCCCUGAUGCUUUGUUCGGUGUUCACAAAGAAAAGCUGAACAAAGGACCAAAUAAUAUCGCAGGAGUCUAAUAUAAGUGUGUCAAUAUGCAUAUGCAGGAUUCGCUGCUGGCGUCCGCCGCACUGACUGCGGAGGUCGCCGUAUUGAAGCAGGACCUCGAGGGGUCCAAGAAAGAGCUUGGCCUUGCCAAGAGGUAGCUCGAGGAGAACAAGGGUAAGUAAUACCCUGUCUAUAGAUAUGUAUAUAUAAAAGAGGACGCGAUUGCAAAAUGACAUGAUCAUCGUAUGUUUGUCAGGGGCCACGACCGAGGUGGCGACCCUGAAGCAAGCGCUAACCAAGGCCGAAGAUAAAGCAGCCAAGGAGCGCACCGAGCGAGAGAAGCACGAGGCUCAGGUGGGUGAGGUGCAGCAAGAGCUCCAGGCUCUCGUGGCGAAGCACGAGGCGUUGGAGCUUGACUCAAAGACGCGGGAGUUUGAGCUUGCCGUGGCCCUCGAGAGUGUAAAAAGUGCCAAGGCCGAAGCCCAAAUGGCCCUCCAAGAGAUCGACGCGAUGAAGAAGAUAGCGGCGGGUAAGGCUUUCUAUAUGCAAAGCAAGCAUGUAAAAGUAAAUUACCGAUUACUUACCCGGAUCCGGAGCUCUUCAGGAGCAUUCGCAGAUUUGCCCCGCAGUGUGUCCGAUGCCGCACAAUUUUACCAGGCCGAGGACGGAAGCUCGACGGAGAAGCUGUUCUGGUCUCAGUAUGCUGAGGACGGACAUCCGAUGCCAAUGAGCGACCAGCUGAAGCAGAUGGUCGAGCUACAUAAGGCGGCCGAUCAGGCCAUGAAGAGAUUUAUAGUCCGGCUGUGGCCUGGCGAUGCCCUUUCGAACAGCUUCUUCGGCUUGGUGAGGCGGCUUGUGGAUGUCUGCCCACGGCUGGAGGCCGUCAAGCGAUCUGUCUGCAUUGAAGGUGCACGCCGGGCUUUCGCCCGUGUGAAAUUGCAGUGGGUCAAGCUAGACGUCGUGAAGCUGAUCAAGGAGGGGCCGCCGGAGGGCAAGGAGCACCGCCACCCCGAGAUGUACUACGAGGGGUUCUACCGGGUGCCCGUCUUAUCACGGAUGAGUGUUCAAAAGAUGUAAUAUUUGAUUGAGACUUGCUCGUUUUAUCCUGUAUUUAUGAAAACUUGUUUCAUAUGCGCUAUGCAACGCUUGUUUGAAUUUAAAAUAUUACCUUUUGUUUGGCUGUUUAUCCAAUCUGAGAGAUGGCUAGUCCUCGGCUUCUGCCCCCAUGCCAUGAGUGCUGGGGUGUUCGGGAUAAACCUGAGCACUCUUGUUCCCAUGUUUGGGUCCUUCGAGGGAGGUGCUCAGCACAGCGAACAAGGCAACCGGACUAACAAUGCUUUAUCACUCUCACUUAGCCAUAGAAUUCUAUAAUUUUAAAUUUUGGCGAAGCCCCUGGUAUCGGAAGGCCGAAUUUGGGGCGCGAUACACGCCUUUAAGCCGGAUAGGGCCGGCCCCUCGCUCUAAGCGGCAUAAGUCUUUAGGGACUCGAAAACCUCGCCGAACAGCGACCAGUCUCUCGCCUUAUCAUGACAGUCAGUUUUAGCUUUCUCUACUGAGGUGCUGAAUCCAGCAGAACCGGGGCACAAUCGCAGUAGUUCUCCUAGCACUACCUUAGCCGAUAGAGCGGAACGUAAGGUACCAAAACAUAGGAGCUGGGCAAACCCAACAUUUGACCAAAGACAUGAUUCGGAGCUGAUGCAUAUAAUGCUAUAAGUUCGGGGUGCCACACUUGUGAAAGUGUUCAGACUUUUCACACCGCAUUGUGGGGUACGUAUGCCCCUGGUGUAUUGGCUGUACCAUAGUGUACGGUUGCAAGGCGUCAUUAAUGAACACACACACACACACAUAUAUAUAUAUAUAACAAGAAUGCAAUGAUAGUCGUAAUGUCAUGCAUUGUUUAUUAAAAAAUUGCGUUAAAACAGAGUGAUACAGAUAGUGCGAUAAGCAAAGAGUAGGACUAUGUCCCUUCCAAGGGCAAGCUGAGGAAUGAUAUUAAAUUGAAUAUUUCACUCGUUACUGUAAUCAACCUGGGAAUUCCGUGGUAUAACGUAGCUGUUUGCCUCCUUGGUUGCUACAUCAUGUGUUCGGCAAUAGUGCUACCGGACAGUGUUUCCAGAGAUUAAGGUCCUGAAAGAAAAAGAAAAAAUAACCAAACGGGAAGCCCCUAGUGCGGUUUAGGCCGCGUGUUGGGGCAUUCCGCAGUUGUGCCCCCUCCCCACCUAUGCCCAUGGUAUUUUUAAUGCGUAAUUAUGUACGCGCGACACGAGUUUCGCCGCUGGGCUGGGAUUGGGGUGGCCGCCGUAUUGCUACGCGAGCUUAGAUCGCGCCAGGCGGUCUACUUGCCAAUUGCCCCGAGCGCGCUUGAAGGUGUCCGGGCUGUGAAGCGCCGAACUGGUUGAUUGCCUUGAGAGGCUGCUUUGCGUUUCUGCUGCGAGGGCUGCGGUGUGCUCCUCUGUUCGGAGAGAGCGCUCUGUGUUUCCAUUGACUGUAAUAACUCAGCGAGGUCCUGGCAUCUUGAGCUUGAGGUAUGCAUAAUGUGGUACCGCAUUGAAUCUAGCAAAUGCGGUUCACCCGAGCAGCGCGUGAUAACCACUGCGGAACGAGACUAUAUCGAAGAUUAACUCUUCACUUCGGAAGUUAUCCGGGGAUCCGUAGACCACUCCCAGUGUAAUUGAGCCUGUGCAAUGGGCCUCUACACCUGGUAUGACGCCCUUAAAGGUUGUUUUUGUGGGUUUGAUCCUUGAGGGGUCUAUACCCAUUUUGCGCACUGUGUCCUGAUAAAGCAGGUUCAGGCUGCUGCCGCCAUCCAUAAGGACUCGAGUGAGGUGAAAUCCAUCAAUGAUUGGGUCUAGGACCAGUGCGGCGAAUUCGCCAUGACGGAUACUAGUGGGGUGGUCCCUGCGAUCGAAGGUGAUCGGGCAGGAGGACCAAGGGUUGAACUUCGGGGCGACUGGCUCCAACGCAUAUACAUCCCUGAGCGCACGCUUCCGCUCCCUCUUGGGGAUGUGGGCUGCGUAUAUCAUGUUCACCGUCCACACUUGUGGGGGAAACCUCUUCUGUCCUCGAGUGUGCGGCUGCCGGGGCUCCUCCUCAUCAUUGCUAUGCGGCCCGUUGUCCUUGUUUUCGGCAAUAACUUGCCGGCCUGCUUGAACACCCAACAAUCCCUGUUGGUGUGAUUGGUUGGCUUGUCUGGGGUGCCGUGUAUUUGACACGAGCGAUCGAGUAUACGGUCGAAGCUGGACGGACCCGGCGUACUUUGUUUGAAUGGCUUUUUCCGCUGACCGGGUUUAGAGCCUUUGAAUCCGGCAUUGACUACCGUAUCCUCAGUAUUUUUGCUGUUAAUGCGGCGCUUAUGUUUGUUGCGACGUGACCUGCUAUUGCCAUCCUUGGUAUCUGAGGUACCAUGGUUCUUUGAUAUGUUAUUACUGCGAGCCAUGAGCGGGUCAUGAGCGUCGUGAGAGCUGCCAUAGAUUUCGGCUUUUCCUGACCAAGGUGCCGGGCUAGCCACUCGUCUCAGAUGUUGUGUUUGAAAGCCGCUAAGGCCUUCGCAUCCGGACAGUCGACGAUUUGAUUUUUCUUUGUAAGGAACCGAGUCCAGAAUUGCCUGGCCGACUCUUCUGGCUGCUGAAUUAUGUGGCUCAAGUCAUCGGCGUCUGGUGGUCGCACAUAAGUGCCCUGAAAGUUGUCGAGGAAUGCGGCUUCCACAUCUUCCCAACAACCAAUGGAGUCCGUUGGCAAGCUGUUAAGCCAAUGCCGCGCUGGUCCCUUGAGCUUUAGUGGGAGGUAUUUGAUGGCGUGUAAGUCAUCACUGCGGGCCAUGUGGAUGUGGAGGAGGAAAUCCUCAAUCCAUACUGCGGGAUUUGUUGUGCCAUUGUAUGAUUCAAUAUUUACAGGUUUGAAACCUUCUGGGUAUUGAUGUUCCAUUACUUCGUCUGUGAAGCAUAAGGGGUGUGCGGCGCCUCUGUAUUGGGCUAUAUCGCGAGCAGCUCGAAUGGGUCUUGCCCGCUGUGUUCGGCCUGGCCGGAUUUGCUUUUACUGUAUCCGGCGUGACGUUUAUCGUCUCACAGAGUGGUGCACCGUCGUGAUCCGUAGAUCGAUCUUGCAUGCUUUGCUUUGUCCUCCAAUAUGUCUCGCAGGUCUGGCGUAUCUUCCCAUGCCUUUUUAUUUGAAUGGCGUCGGGGUGGAGGCUGAGCUUUUUGCUGGAAUGCCUCUCUAUCGCGGCCACAAGGUGUCUGAUCAGCCAUAUCAUACGCUUCUUCCUCCAGUCGGGGUAGUAACCCGCACUUUGGGUAAUUCUUGGAGGGGCGCUCGAGUUUAUAUUCCUCGGCCGCGAGGACUUCAGUCCAUCUGUCAGCUAGCAGAUCUUGAUCAGCUUGAAGCUGCUACUUCUUUUUCUUCAGGCUAUUUGCCGUGGCCAUAAGCCGGCGCUUGAAGCGCUCUUGUUCGACGGGAUCCUCUGGUACGGCGAAUUUACCGUCGCCGAGGCUUGCCUCAUCUUUGGAGGGGGGCAUGUAAUUGUCAUCCUCCUCCUCUCCGUCUGCCGCUCUCUCAGGAGAGCUGGCUCCUCCAUACUCCUGCUCUAAAUCAUGCUGGAGGGGAUUGUUGUUGUCUUCGGCACUAUCCGAAGUGUUAUUAUCUCCUAUGCCGGUAUCACCACUUUUGCUUUGGCGGGACUUAGAGCGGCGCCGCUGAUGUCAGCGCUUGGGUUGUUUCUUGGAGGGGUCAUCCUCCGCUAUCUCGUCGCCAUUGCCUUCUUUGGGUGUAUCCACCAUGUAUAUGUCAUAUGACGAGGUGGCUUUCCAUUUCCAUAUAGGCGCUGGUUCAUGUUCGUCUCCUACAUCGUCGUCCAUACCGUCGAUGUCUUCAGAGUCGAAGUCGAGCAUGUCGGUUAAAUCAUCGACAUUGGCUACGAAGUGGGUGGUGGGUGGGCGUCAAAUUUCUUCGUCAUCCGCAUCCCAAUCCUGUUGGCCAUAAUCCGGCCAGGGCUCUCCUGACAAAGAGAGAGACCUUGGUGAAUUCAGAAUGUCGCCGAAGGGCGAGUGCUGAAAGAUAUCCGUGGCGGUGAAUUCCAUGAUCGGCGCCCAAUUGGAUUCGAUUGGCAGGGGCGCGGGCGGUUCGGAGUCAGAAGAAGAGUCCGGCACCUUGGAGUCACGGGCUGCGCAGAGGAUUAGGCUGGUGUUCGGCUCGAUCGCCGUUGAGACUGCAGCCCCUGAGGCGGUGUCUAACCACCCAUCCUCGAUUGGCGCAGUUGGCUCCGAGCUAAGGGUCGGAGCUGAUGCGGGCGCGGCCUCCGGGGUACUAUACGGCGGCAGAGCUAGGUCAUACCCAUUGUGACAGUGCGACACGUCUAGCUGUGGCUCGAAUCCGUCGAAGAUCAAGUCUCCGCGGAUGUCGGCCGUGUAGUUCAAACUUCCAAAUCUGACCUGAUGGCCAGGGGUGUAGCUUUCAAUCUGCUCCAGAUGGCCAAGCGAAUUAGCCCGCAGUGCAAAGCCGCCGAAUACAAAGAUCUGUCCGGGGAGAAAAGUCUCACCCUGGACCGCAUCGCUAUCGAUGAUAGUAGGAGCCAUCAAGCCUAACGGCGACGACACAGAGGAACUCUCAAUGAAAGCACCAAUGUCGGUGUCAAAACCGGCGGAUCUCGGGUAGGGGGUCCCGAAUUGUGGGCCGGAUGGUAACAGGAGGCAGGGGACACAAUGUUUUACCCAGGUUCGGGCCCUCUUGAUGGAGGUAAAACCCUACGUCCUGCUUGAUUAAUAUUGAUGAUAUGGGUAGUACAAGAGUAGAUCUACCACGAGAUCGAGGAGGCUAAACCCUAGAAGCUAGCCUAUGGUAUGAUUGUAUGUUAUGGUUGUUGUCCUACGGACUAAAACCCUUCGGUUUAUAUAGACACCAGAGACGGUUAGGGUUACACAAGGUCGGUUACAAAGGACGAGAUAUCCAUAUCCGUAUUGCCUAGCUUGCCUUCCACGCCAAGUAGAGUCCCAUCCGGACAUGAGACGAAGUCUUCAAUCUUGUAUCUUCAUAGUCUAAUAGUCUGACCAAAGGAUAUAGUCCGGCUGUCCGGAGACCCCCUAAUCCAGGACUCCCUCACUAACCAUAGCGUGAAACAUAUGGAUCCAAAUCAGCCCCUUACGAAGCAACGCAUAAACUAGGGUUUAAGCUUUGGUCACUCUAGCAACCCAUCAUCUACUUAUUACUUCCCAAUGCCCUCCUCUAGGCACAAAUAAUGGUGAAGUGUUAUGUAGUCGACGUUCACAUAACACCACUAGAGUCUAGACAACAUACAUCUCAUCAAAAUAUUGAACGAAUACCAAAUUCACAUGACUACUAAUAGCAAGACUUCUCCCAUGUCCUUAGGAACAAACGUAACUACUCACAAAGCAUAUUCAUGUUCAUAAUCAGAGGGGUAAUAAUAUGCAUAAAGGAUCUGAACAUAUGAUCUUCCACCAAAUAAACCAACUAGCAUCAACUACAAGAAGUAAUCAACACUACUAGCAACCUCUACUAGCACCAAUCCCGGACUUGGAGAUAAGAAUUGGAUACAAGAGAUGAACUAGGGUUUUGGGAUAAGAUGGUGAUGGUGAAGAUGUUGAUGGAGAUUUCCCUCUCCCGAUGAGAGGAACGUUGGUGAUGACGAUGGCGAUGAUGUCCCCCUCCCGGAGGGAAGUGUCCCCGGCAGAACAGCUCUACCGCAGCCCUAGAUUGGUUCCGCCAAGGUUCCGCCUCGUGGCGGCGGAGUCUCGUCCCGAAAGGUUACUUCUUAUUUUUUCCUCGACGAAAGACCUCAUAUAGCAGAAGAUGGGCAUCAGAGAGCCAACAGGGGGCCCACGAGGUAGGGGGCGUGCCCUAGGGGGGGGGGGGCGCCUCCACCCUCGUGGACAGGGUGUGGCCCCCCUGGUCUCCAUCUUUGGCAAGGAUUUUUCAUUAUUUUUAACUAGAUGUUCCGUGGAGUUUCAGGACUUUUGGAGUUGUGCAGAAUAGGUUUCUAAUAUUUGCUCCUUUUCCAGCCCUGAAUUCCAGCUACCGACAUUCUCCCUCCUUAUGUAAACCUUGUAAAAUAAGAGAGAAUAGCUAUAAGUAAUGUGACAUAACGUGUAAUAACAGCCCAUAAUGCAAUAAAUAUCGAUAUAAAAGCAUGAUGCAAAAUGGAUGUAUCAAAGAAUAUGUUCUUUUGUACAACUCUCAUUUCAGAUUCUUUGCAGGAAAACUCUUCUCAAAAUGGGAAGGCCCCUACGUUAUCGAGGAGGUUUAUCGGUCUGUAGCCAUCAAAUUAAAUAAUGCCGAAGGUACUAACCCGAAGGUUGUUAACGGGUAACGAAUAAAACAUUAUAUCUUAGGUAUGCCCAUUAACGUUGAAAGUAAUAUUAUCAAAACUAUGACACUGGAAGAACACAUAAAAGAGUACUUCCGGAACACUCCAGAAUCGUGAAAAUAAGGAGGUACGUGAUACGGUAAGUAAACGGACUCCAAAAAAUCCGCAAAAAUAUUUUUUGUCAAUUUUGGAAUAUUUAGAAAAAUAGGAAAAAAAGAAGCUACUCGGAAGCGUACCCUGGUGGGCACAAGACACCAGGGCGCACCAGGCUUGCCUGGUGCUGCCAGGUGGGUUGUGCCCACCUAGGACACCUUUCGGACUCCGUUUUUCUUCUGUUUUCUUAUCCCCCAAGAUAAAAACUAUAUAUACUUCCCAAACCUGUUAACCAUCGUAUCGCGGAGAAAUCCUCUGUUCUCUUUUCUUGCGGUUUUCGAUCAGAUCUGUUGAGUCAGGCAUCAUGUCUUCUUCUUCCUCCAACAACAUGGAAGAGGAUGCUUGGUUGAUGUAGAUUCGAGCUGAAGAGAGAAAAGCCCGCGGAAGCCGUCAGGGGAGAUGAGAGCAAGGAGGUUACCGUAGAUCAGCCUCUGACCUUCGAACAAGCACUGCCAACCGAGGAGGAAGAGGAAGAUAUCCUUAAACCCUACCUUGUUCACCUUCCUCCUACUGAGAUUGAAGCCUUUCUCAUCAUUGAAAUAGUUCGCAUACAGAAUAAGUAUCUCACUUGUGAAAAUAUUCUGCAUCAAGAGCAUAUUAUCCACCUCCGGAGCGUCAUCCAUCGGUUGGAGAAUCUCUUGAUCCUUAAGGAAAUGAUCUUUUCAUCACCACCAUCAUCUUCUUCACCACCAUAGGAGAAUUGAGUAUUGUGUAUGGGCACUCCCCUUGGCUUCUGCCAAGCUUGGGGGAGGUGCCCCGGUAUCGUAUCAUCCCACUAUCUUUUUGCCUUUACUUAUUUUAGUUUGAUAUUUUGCUUUAGAUGAAUAAAAGUUUAGUUCGAUCCUUUCUUUUUGAAAGUUUGCUUAGUGAUCUAUUGAAAUCGUGUGCGAGAUAUAUAAUAAAGUUUAGUUUGAGUUUUUUGCUUUCUUUACUUUCAUGUUGCAAAUAAAAGCAAAAGAGAAAUGAAAUAAAUGAAUGAAAGGAAAUAAAUGAAAGAAAGGAAAUAAAUUAAAAAGAUCAUAUACUAAUCCUAUGGUAGGUGAUAACACCACAUAAGAAAAGUAUAAGUAGAAAAAUUUAUUAGAUUUUGAUAAACAUAGCAUUAGUCAAUGAUACAACUCAUGAAAGAAUUAAUAAGGGAAGAGAAGAUUCACAUAUAAAUGUACUAUCCUAGAAAUCGUUUGUGAUUGUGAGCCCUCAUCAAAAUAUUAUAUGCCAAAAUUGUUGACGUUGGACAAGGAAGACAACAUAAUGGUUUAUGGUUGUUUAUAUUCACAUACAAGUCAUAUUGUCAUGGAUCCUUUAACAUGUGGUGCUUGCCCCUAUCUUUGCUAGCCAAAAAUUUCGCACUAAGUAGAGAUACUACUUGUGCAUCCAAAAACCCUUAAACCCAAAUCUUAUUUUCAAGUGUCCACCAUACCUACCUAGGGAUUGAGCAGGAUCCCUCAAGUAAGUUGUCAUCGGUGAAAAAAGGCAAUAAAAAUUUCUUCUAAAAGUGUGAGAUCAUUUAGUGUAAUAGAAAAUUGAGCGUUGCACGAACUUGUGAUGGUGAAGAAUGAAAGCAAUAGACUGCAUAAUAAAGGUCGCUAUCACAAGGGGCAAUGCAACAUGACGUCUUUUGCACUAAGGGGUUGAGCAUACAAACAAAUAAGCGCAUUGCAAACUCUGCUUCCCUCUGCGAAGGGCCUAUCUUUUACUUUUAUGUAUUUACUUUUAUGCAAAGAGUCAAAGUUUUCCUUCUAUUCCUUUUUAUUUUUCUGCUUUGGAAAGCAUCAUGUGGUGAGGAAAGAUCUAGGCACAUAUGUCCAGUUGAAUAUAGAUAGCAUGCGUUAAUAUUGUUGACAUCACUCUUGAGGACAAGCAAGGUCUAAGUGUCCGGUUGAAAUGUUUUGCUCAUGUGUACGCGGUGAGUGUUAGCAAUCAUAGAAGACUAUAUGAUGGUUGAGUAUGUGGACUUGAUAAAGGCUCCGACACGUGACCCUUCCUGAAAAGAUGAUGAAUUGUAGUUGCAAAGUUGACUGAGAACAUAGUUUGUUGGUUUUUAAUAGAGUUUUUUGCUUUAUACUUCAAUAGUGUGAUGAAUUGUCACUUAUUCAUGAGAAGUCUAUGAUAAAAGUUCUUUGAUAAGAAUUUUAUGUUAAAGUUUGUUGCUGUUAUAAUAAUGAACAUGAUGCUUCUAUGUCCGUAUUUUGUUUUUAUUGACACCUCUCUCUCUAAGCAUGUGGACAUGUUUUUCGAUUUCGGUUUUCGCUUGAGGACAAGCAAGGUCUAAGCUUGGGGGAGUUGAUACGUCCAUUUUGAAUCAUGUUUUCUUACUAUUAUUUAUGAUGUUUUUAUCCAUAAUAAUGCUUUUUGGAGUAAUUCUAAUGCCUUUUCUCUCAUAAUAUGCAAGGUUUACACAAAGAGGGAGAAUUCCGGCAGCCGGAAAUCUGGACCUGGAAAAGCUACGUCAGGCCACCUAUUCUACACAACUCCAAACAAGCUAAAACUUCACAGAUAUUUUUUUAUCAAAUAUAUAAAGAAUAUUGGAGCAAAUAACUACCAGAGGGGGCCCACCAGGUGGGCACAACCCACCUGGGCGCGCCAUGGACCCUAAGCACGCCCUGGGGGUUGUGCUCACCCAGGCCAACCUCCGGUUCCCAUAUUCUGGUAUAUAAGUCAUUUUGACCUAGAAAAAAAAUAAGGAGAGGACUUUCGGGACGGAGCACCGCCGUCUCGAGGCGGAACUUGGGCAGGAGCACUUUUGCCCUCCGGCGGAGCGAUUCCGCCGGGGGAACUUCCCUCUCAAAGGAGGAAAUCAUUGUCACCAUCAUCACCAACAACUCUCUCAUCUUGGGGAGGGCAAUCUCCAUCAAAAUCUUCAACAACACCAUCUCCUCUCAAACCCUAGUUCAUCUCUUGUGUUCAAUCUUGUUACCGGAACUAUAGAUUGGUGCUUGUGGGUGACUAGUAGUGUUGAUUACAUCUUGUAGUUGAUUACUAUAUGGUUUAUUUGGUGGAAGAUUAUAUGUUCAGAUCCAAUAUGCUAUUUAACACCCCUCUGAUCUUGAGCAUGAUUAUCAUUUGUGAGUAGUUACUUUUGUUCUUGAGGUCACGGGAGAAAUCAUGUUGCAAGUAAUCAUGUGAACUUGAUAUGUGUUUGAUAUUUUGAUAGUAUGUAUGUUGUGAUUUCCUUAGUGGUGUCAUGUGAACAUCGACUACAUGACACUUCACCAUAUUUGGGCCUAAGGGAAUGCAUUGUGGAGUAGCAAUUAGAUGAUGGGUUGCGAGAGUGACAGAAGCUUAAACCCUAGUUUAUGCGCUAUUCUGUAAGGGACCGACUAGAUCCAAAAGUUUAAUGCUAUGGUUAGAAUUUACUCUUAAUUAUUUUCUCAUAGUUGCGGAUGCUUGCGGGAGGGUUAAUCAUAAGUAGGAGGUUUGUUCAAGUAAGAACAUAACCUAAGCACCGGUCCACCCACAUAUCAAAUUAUCAAAGUACCGAACACGAAUUAAGCCAACAUGAUGAAAGUGACUAGAUGAAAUUCCUGUGUACCCUCAAGAACGCUUUGCUUAUCAUAAGAGACCAUUUUGGCAUGUCCUUUUGCGACGCCCCCGAUUCAAUCGUACACUAAUCAGACACGCAAACGUGUACGAUCAAGAUCAGGGACUCACGGGAAGAUAUCACAACACAACUCUACAAAUAAAAUAAGUCAUACAAGCAUCAUAUUACAAGCCAGGGGCCUCGAGGGCUCGAAUACAAGUGCUCGAUCAUAGACGAGUCGCGGAAGCAACAAUAUCUGAGUAUAGACAUAAGUUAAACAAGUUUGCCUUAAGAAGGCUAGCACAAACUGGGAUAUAGAUCGAAAGAGGCGCAUGCCUCCUGCCUGGGAUCCUACUAACUACUCCUGGUCAUCGUCAGCGGGCUGCACAUAGUAGUAGGCACCUCCCGAGUAGUGGUAGUCAUCGUCGACAGUGGCGUCUGGAUCUUGGACUCCAACGUCUGGUCGCAGCAACCGGGUAUAGGGAAGGGGAAAAAGGGGGAGAAAAGCAACCGUGAGUACUCAUCCAAAGUACUCGCAAGCAAGGAGCUACACUACAUAUGCAUGGGUAUAUGUGUAAAGGGCCAUAUCGGUGGACUGAACUGCAGAAUGCCAGAAUAAGAGGGGGAAAGCUAGUCCUAUCGAAUACUACGCUUCUGGCAGCCUCCGUCUUGCAGCAUGUAGAAGAGAGUAGACUGAAGUCCUCCAAGUAGCAUCGCAUAGCAUAAUCCUACCCGACGAUCCUCUCCUCGUCGCCCUGUUAGAGAACGACCACCGGGUUGUAUCUUGCACUUGGAAGGGUGUGCUUUAUUAAGUAUCCAGUUCUAGUUGUCAUAAGGUCAAGGUACAACUCCAAGUCAUCCUGUUACCGAGGAUCACGGCUAUUCAAAUAGAUUAACUUCCCUGUAGGGGUGCACCACAUAACCCAACACGUUCGAUCCCAUUUGGCCGGACACACUUUCCUGGGUCAUGCCCGGCCUUGAAAGAUCAACACAUCGCAACCCUACCUAGGCACAACAGAGCGGUCAGCACGCCAGUCUAAAUCCUAUGGCGCAGGGGUCUGGGCCCAUCGCCCUUUGCACACCUGCACAUUGCAAACGCGGCCGGAAGCAGACCUAGCCUAGCAGGCGUUCCAGUCCAAUCCGGCACGCGCCGCUCAGUCGCUGACGUCACGAAGGCUUUGGCUGAUACCACGACGUCGAGUGCCCAUAACUAUCCCCGCGUAGAUGGUUAGUGCGUAUAGGCCAGUGGCCAGACUUAGGUCAAAUACCAAGAUCUCGUUAAACGUGUUAUCUUGAAAUAACCGCGAACGCCGACCAGGGCCAGGCCCACCUCUUUCCUAGGUGGUCUCAACCUGCCCUGUCGCUUUGCCACAAAGAUCCACACAGAGGGCCGUUGGGACAAAGGUCCUUUCAGCCCCCAAUGCGUGAAUCACUCGAUGGUACUCCACGAGCCGACCCGACUUUAGUCACCACAUGUAUCAUGUAUAAAGUAUAUAGUAUAUACCCGUGAUCACCUCCCGAGUGAUCACGUCCCGAUAGUAUAGCAUGGCAUACGGACAAGAAUGUAGGGCCACUGAUGAUAAACUAGCAUCCUAUACUAAGCAUUAGGAUUGCAGGUAAAGGUAACACCAGUAGUAGCAAGGACAUGCUAUGCAUCAGGAUAGGAUUAACGGAAAGCAGUAACAUGCUACACUACUCUGAUGCAAGCAGUAUAGACGAGAGUAGGCGAUAUCUGGCGAUCAAGGGGGGGGGGCUUGCCUGGUUGCUCUGGCAAGAAGGAGGGGUCAUCUUCGAUGUAGUCGAACACACGGACAUCGGCAGCGGUCUCGGAGUCUACCGGAAAGGAGUAAUGGAGGGGGAACACAAUAAAUAACAGAGCAAUCAAAUGUAACACAAAGCAAGACGCGGCAAUACAUUGUGCUAGGAGUGACCUAACGUAGGGAUAGGCGAUACCGGCGAAGGGGGGAAACAUCCGGGAAAGUAUUCCUGGUGUUUCGCGUUUUCGGGCAGAUGAAUCGGAGAGGGAAAGUUGCGUGUUUGCUAUGCUAGGGAUGUGUGACGGACGAACGGACUGCGUAUUCGGAUUCGUCUCGUCGUUCGGAGCAACUUUCAUGUAUAAAGUUUUUCCAUCCGAGCUAUGGAUUAUUUUAUAUUUUUUUUAAGUUUUACUAAUACUCUGGAAUUAAUUUAAUUAUCUAAAUUUGAAUUAUCCAAAACAGUGACCUGUGAUGUCAGCAUGACAUCAUCCAGGCGUCAGCGGUCAAACCUCAGAUGGUCCAGGUCAACCCUGACCAGUGGGCCCCGCAUGUCAUAGAGAGAGGCUUAACUAAAGUUUAAUUUAAACCUAAUAUAGUCUAAUUAGCAGGUGGCCCCCACUGUCAGUGGCAAUAUUAAUUAUAGGUUAAGUUUAAAUUUGGAUUAGUCUUAGUUAAUAGAGGGGGGUCCCACAUGUCGGUGGCACAUGGUGCGCAGUCAGCAGGGUUGACUGGUCAACCCAGUCAACUAGGGUCCCUGGGCCCACGGGUGAGUGACCCAUUAGGCCGCCACGUGGCGCCAGGUCAGUGCCGUCGCCGGAGUAACUCCGGAGACCAUGUUUUGCGGUGGCGCACGUUGGGAGAUGGUCGAGUUUUGGCUACGGUGGCUUGUUUUGAGCGCGGGAGGUGGCGUUUGAACGAGUGCGGUGAGCCGCAUCCAGUGGCGGCGGUGGCGUGGCCGGAGGUGGCCGGAAGUGACGGCGGCGAGCACAUCGGCGGACGGGCGCAGUCGGGCGUGAGUGCAAACGGUUAUGCGGGGCAUGACAGGGCGAGCUAGCAGUGGCAUUGAGCUCCUAUGCGUGCGCCAAACACGGCUACAUGCUCGAACGAGCUCGUUGGUGAUGGCAUUGACGGCGACGAGCACGGCGGCAGGGGCGAGCUACAGCAGAGGCGGCUACUACGACUAUGGGCNNNNNNNNNNNNNNNNNNNNNNNNNNNNNNNNNNNNNNNNNNNNNNNNNNNNNNNNNNNNNNNNNNNNNNNNNNNNNNNNNNNNNNNNNNNNNNNNNNNNNNNNNNNNNNNNNNNNNNNNNNNNNNNNNNNNNNNNNNNNNNNNNNNNNNNNNNNNNNNNNNNNNNNNNNNNNNNNNNNNNNNNNNNNNNNNNNNNNNNNNNNNNNNNNNNNNNNNNNNNNNNNNNNNNNNNNNNNNNNNNNNNNNNNNNNNNNNNNNNNNNNNNNNNNNNNNNNNNNNNNNNNNNNNNNNNNNNNNNNNNNNNNNNNNNNNNNNNNNNNNNNNNNNNNNNNNNNNNNNUCUCCUAGGCGCGGUCUCGAGGCGUGGGGGCGACGGUGGCCGCGAGAUCGACGGAGGCCAGGGCGGCAGUGCUUCCGGCUCGUGCGGGGAAGGAGGGAGCGACACGAGGGAGAUGGGGGAGUGAGCUAGGGUUCGUCAGGGGGGUUCGGGGAGGGGUCGCCGUCGACCUAAAGGAGCCGGGGGGCACCGGAUGGCCGCCCCGUGGCCAUCUUCGGCCAUGGACGCGGUGCGCGCGUCCACCGCGACGGGGGUGAACAUGAGAAGGGGGAAGGGGUUAAGUGGGCCGUGUUUUCGGCUAAUGGGCCACAGGCCCAGUAGAUUAGUUUUGUUGUUAUUUUUCUUUUGUCUUUUUCCUUUUGUUUUCUGUUUUAUUUUUGUUCCUUUUCAUUUCAGUUUUAUAAAAAUUAACACUAGCACGUAAAUUUGUAAUUAUAAAUAUACUACUGCCACAUUAAUUCUCAACCCAAAAUAAAAUAGUUUAAUAUUCUAUAAAAUUCAAUAGGUAUUUAUUUAAUUGUUUAACUAUUGUUUUAAUUAUCUUAGAGCCUUUAAACAUUUUAUCAAAGUUUGUUUUCUCCUCCAUAAUUACUUAUGAUUUAUUUGACGCGCUUAUAGCAUUAUGGUUUUAAUGUUUGGAAACUUUUAUUGUUUGUCAUAUUUUGAAUUUGAAUUUUGAACAGUUUCGAAACAUCGCGAGGUUAACAACAGUAACCGUGGUGAGGUGACAUCAUUAGCGUGGGAUUACUGUAGCUUAAUUAUCCGGGCGUCACACCUUUGCCUCAAAAGGAUUGGGCUACCUUGCUGCACUUUUGCUACUAUUAUCAUUACUUGCUCGUUACAAAAUAUCUUGCUAUCAACCUACUCCGUUACUUACAUUUUCAGCACUUGCAGACAUCACCUUGCUGAAAACCACUUGUCAUUUCCUUCUGCUCCUUGUUGGGUUCGACACUCUUACUUAUCGAAAAGAGCUACAAUUGAUCCCCUAUACUUGUGGGUCAUCAAGGCUAUUUUCUGGUGCCCUUGUCGGGGAGUGAAGCUCCUUUGGUAAGGAAGCAUUUACAUAGUGUGCUGAAAUUUAUUGUCACUUGUUACUAUGGAAAACAAUCCUUUGAGGGGUUUGUUCGGGGUAUCUUCACCUCAACCGGAAUCACAAUUAGCUACCCCUCAACCUACUACACCUACUGAAAAUAUUGAAUAUGAAAUUUCUUCGGGUAUGAUAGAACAACUACUAGCUAAUCCUUAUGCAGGAGAUGGAACCGAACAUCCUAAUAUGCACUUGAUAUAUGUAGAACAAAUUUGUGGAUUGUUCAAGCUUUCAGGUUUGCCUGGAAAUGAAGUUAUGAAAAAGGUUUUCCCUUUAUCUUUGAAGGGAAAAGCAUUGGCAUGGUAUAGGCUAUGCGAUGAUAUUGGAUCUUGGAAUUGGAAUCGUUUGAAAUUGGAGUUCCAUCAAUUUUUUUAUCCUAUGCAUCUAGUUCAUCGUGAUCGGAAUUAUAUAUAUAAUUUUUGGCCUCGUGAAGGAGAAAGUAUCAGUCUAGCUUGGGGGAGGCUUAAGUCAAUGUUACAUUCAUGCCCCAAUCACGAGCUCUCAAAAGAAAUUAUUAUCCAGAACUUUUAUGCUUGGCUUUCUCGUAAUGAUCAAACCAUGCUCGAUACCUUGCUACCUCUUGAGCAUGCGUUGGUUUUCCCUUGAAGAGGAAAGGGUGAUGCAGCAAAGUAGUGUAAGUAUUUCCCUCAGUUUUAAGAACCAAGGUAUCAAUCCAGUAGGAGACAACGCACAAGUCACCUAUUACCUGCACAAACAAUCAAGAACCUUGCAAUCAAUGUGAUAAAGGGUUUGUCAAUCCCUUCAUGGUCACUCGUAAAAGUGAGAUAUAAUAAAGAUAGUAAAGUAAAUAUUUUUGGUAUUUUUGUUGUAUAGAUUGGAAAAUAAAGAUUGCAAAAUAGUAAACGAGAUGCGAUGUAAAUAAAAUAGAUGCAAUAUAAUAAGAAAGAGACCCGAGGGCCAUAGGUUUCACUAGUGGCUUCUCUCAAGAUAGCAUGUAUUACGCUGGGUGAACAAAUUACUGCCGAGCAAUUGAUAUAAAAGCGCAUAGUUAUGAAGAUAUCUAAGGCAAUGAUCAUGAAUAUAGGCAUCAGGUCCGUGUCAAGUAGAUCGAAAUGAUUCUGCAUCUACUACUAUUACUCCAUACAUCGACCGCUAUCCAGCAUGCAUCUAGAGUAUUAACACUACUAGGGAAAACCCUAGUAGUAGCGCGGAUUUUGAGGCUAGCAGCAGCGCGGGCAGCCGCGCUACUACUAUGACGCUACAACUAACUAUUAGUAGUAGCGCGGUCCGCACCCGCGCUACUACUGUUGACUAUAACAACAUCGCUUUUCUGGAAUGCGCUAUUAUUAGUUAACUGUAGCGAUUUCCUAGCCCCUCACUACUGCUAUAUCUUUCAUCAUUUCCCCUGCUUCCUACCCCGUUUCAGUUUCAAUAAACUGCAAUUUCCAAAUACUACUACUAGAUAUCAAUUUCAUAAAGCAUUGGUACUAGGUAGUACUCCCUCCAUUCCAGAUUACUCGUCGUGGUUUUAGUUCAGACCACGACGAGUAAUUUGGAACGAAGGGAGUACUAGAUAACAAUUUCAUGUAUAGUCAACAUGCAUCCUCAAGCAGUACAAGGUCAUAUCGAUGACGAUCAUCAUAUGUAGUUCUAGAUGAUAUCGACGACGGUCAUCAUAUGUAGUUCUAGAUGAUAUAGCCACACACACAUAUGUAGUUCUAGAUGAUAUCAAAGACGAUCAUCAUCCUCAAGCCUGGGCGGUGGGUGUUCCUGAUUGUAAUUAGGAUGGCCUGUCCAACACGAAGAUUCUUGCCAUCGAGGAAUCUCUUCCACCCAAUCGAGUUUAAGUGUGUGCGACCGUCCAUGUCCAUGCGGUAAGUACAGGUUGUGACGGAGCCCCUUGUGGUAAGGUGUAGUCCAGCCGAGCCUUCUUCAUCAGGCCCGAUACCAUAACUCACAGAUAGGCUCUUUGCCAAUUUCUGAAUAAGAAAAACAUAUCAAUUAAUAAAUAGCCUCGCACAUAGUCUUGCAAAUAGGUAUAUAUGGAUUAUCUACACUAUUAAUAGUUCCUUAGAUUCUACACUAAUAAGCAUGUGAUCAAACUCUACACUAAAGCAUAUCAUCGACUAGAUUCCACACAACAUAUCAUUGGACUCUACACUAAGCAUAUCAUCGGAUAAUUUGCAUUUGUAAGUAUAACGUACCAUAUCAUGUUGAUCGACCAUGGUACUUGUCAGGCCGGUCAUGAAUGGCACCCCGACAAAGUCAGCACAUGGCGGAAUUAUGUCCCAUAGGUUGCACACCUCCUCCUCGCUCAGCCUCAUUCUUUGAGCUACGAUGGCUUCAUGAAGUGGGUCCUCAUCAUCUUCAUCGAGUGGGUCCUCAUUAUCUUCAUCAUUGUAACACCCCAAAUUUCCAAUUUGGAAUGUUAUACAUUAGACCAUCAUUGCAUAUCAUAUUUUACUGCAUUUCGGUUUAAUCCUAGAAAUUCUACGCAACUCAAGGAUCCAUAGAGAGAGUUGAGGAUUUCGUUAUUUUCAUAUUUGAGUUUUCUCAAAUUUUGAAAAGAGGAUCGUUCGAUUUUAAUUAUUUUCUCUUCGAAUAUUUCUUUUACGAAAAAUAAAGAGUGGGGAUAAAAUGACUUCCCCAAAAUAAAUAAAUAUUGGAGAUUUAAUAUCAAAAUCAAAUAAGAUUUUAUUCGGAGUUUUUAUCGCUAUUUUAUUUGAACUAGGAAAAAAUGCAUUUUUCAAAAUUGCAUUAGAGCCCCAAAUAAAUGUUCACCUUGUCCGUUAGAUUUUUAGAGGACGGGGAAAAUUUAUUUCAGGAUUUUUGGAGUCCAUUUAGUACUUCUUUUCUUUAUUUUUCCGAGCGGAAUUAUUUAAAAAUAAAGUCAUUAGACCUAACCGGGCCGUGUCCGACCUGGACACUAGCCCGGCCGGCCCUUUUAUAGACGCGGAGGCCCGAGCUAGCGCCGCCCCACCCGAAAACCCUAGCCGCCGCCGGAGCCUCGCCGCGCCGCCGUCCCGCAGCGGCGCCGCUGCCGGUUCCCCUCGCCGCCGACGCCGUUAGCCGCCGGAGCCGCCGCCGGUUCCCCUCGCCGCCGAGACCGUUAGCCGCUGGAGCCGCCACCGACCUCGCCGAGGUAGUUCGCCGCCGCCGCCAGUUUUCUUCGGAAAACCGAUCGGUUUACUUUUUUUCAAAACCUUAGUUUUUUUAUUAUUAUUUAGAUCGUUUUUUAUUUUCCUGGUUUAUUUAUUUAAUGAACGCCCGUUCGUACGUUCAUUUUAACAAACGGUUUUCACUCGUUAACCAUAGACAACGAACGUUCGUUCGUUAGCUUGUUCGUCAGUUUUCUUUUUCCAGGGUUUUUCCGCGAUUAUUUUCGAUCGCGAUUUCUGCCCAAAUCUUCGUUCUAGUAUAACUUUUCGCUCGUUUAUCGAAAUCAGGCAAUUCAAGUGCCUAGAUCUUUGUCUAGAAGCCCUCUUUCUGUUUAACCAACUUGAACAAGAUUUUGCUACUGUAAAAUUUGACUUAAGUUCAGAUUAGUAAACGGAUCUUGUUUCUUUCGCAGUUUGAGUUUUGUUGCUUCGUUUGAUUUGAUUCUUUUUGCAAACCGGAGUUCUUAUGUUGAAAUUUCUGGUUAGAUCUUUUAUU
RNAcentral lists this long non-coding RNA (64372 nucleotides) under Triticum aestivum (bread wheat). RNAcentral describes it as "long non-coding RNA (TAES_LNC004364)". The record is from RNAcentral. Lineage: Eukaryota; Viridiplantae; Streptophyta; Magnoliopsida; Poales; Poaceae.